This 48263-nucleotide long non-coding RNA is filed under the name Vitis vinifera (wine grape). RNAcentral's name for it is "long non-coding RNA (VVIN_LNC005122)". The record is from RNAcentral. Lineage: Eukaryota; Viridiplantae; Streptophyta; Magnoliopsida; Vitales; Vitaceae.
GCUCUGUUCCUAGGUCCUUCCUCUGCAACCACAUUUGCAUAGGACCGACAUCCUCUGUAAAUGCCCUUACUCGCCUGAAAAUCUUCAAUCAUCUCCUUCGAAACUCUUCCAGCUUGAUCAGAAAAAUCUUACACUGAAGAAAUCGCCUUUCUUAGGGCUUCCCACCCAUUGCCUUUAACACCCUCAGGAACAACAAGGAUUAAUGGUUUCCUUUUUGCAACAAUUUUUGUAAUUUUCAUGAAUCACCCUUUACUAUUGAAACAAAUCUCCAUCAAGUGAGUCAUAGUCUUGCCCCUAAUCUUUCGAAUAAAACCCCUGGAAGCCUCCAACUCCAUAGCUUUCUUCAAAUGCUCCUACAACCAUUCCAAUUCCUCCUUUCCAAAUCCUACUGAGACAACAAACCCUUGACUCCUCUCUGUUAUUGAGAUCCAAGUUCCCCCAUUGGAACCUUCAAACUUUACCUAGAAAGCCUUUUUCUCUACUUCAAAAAACUUCGCCAUUAACACAACCAAGAAUGCUUUUAUUUAUAUGUAUACUUUUUUCUUGCUUAGAUUUGUCAUGUGCAUUGGAGGAGCCUAUGGUUAUUGAUGAUUAAGUGUGAUGUAAGUUAUUUUUAUACACUUAUUCAUGGUUAUUAACUUUAAUUUAUUGUUAUAUUAAAUUUAAUUCAUUGUUAUUAUUUUUAUUACAUUUGUUCCUGGUUUUUAAUUUUACUUUAAUUGAUUAUUAAUCUAAAUUUAAUCCAUUAUUAUUUGAUCUACUUUAUAGUGAUGAAGUAUGGACAUUUUGGACCUUGCUCCUUGGAGUACUUGCUAUGGGAUGAUAUUGGACAAGAUCUUAUUAUGAAGUUUGUAGUUUGUACAUCGUUUGUUGUUAUGAGAGGAAGAUUGGAAUUUGUGUUUUUUUUUUUUUUUUUCUACAAUUAUGUAUGCUAAAUGGAUCAUGGACUAUGUUGCUUAUUGUAUUUUGGCUGCAAACUUUCAAGGAACUUGCAUGUAUUUUGUAUGUGGUUCAGGAUCAAAAGUUCUCUAUACUGCAAACUAGUAAUUUCACCAUUUAAUUCAAGAGGUAGACUCCAUUAAACUUAGUGUGACAGAACCCAUGUGGAUACUGCAUUGUAUGCAUUAAUUCAAUGUCCAUUGUUUAUAUCAAUUUAUUCUUUCUUGUAUUUGCACAGUGAGAUUUUUUUUUUGAGAGGUAUAUUUGUACAAUGAGAUGAACCAUCUGCAUGUGGAUGUUGCAUAAUGUGCAUUAAUUCAUUGUUUAUUGUUUCUGGUUAUCAACUUUCAAUGAAAUAGAAUUUGUUUGUGUUAUAAUGCUGCAUAUUUUUUCUUAUUAACCACGUGAAUUUGCAGGAUGGAUAUGAGUGCAACCACCUAAUAUAAAAUUAAUAUCCUAGUGGCAUUCCAACAAUAGGAGGAGUUGGAAAACAAUUUGAUGGGGGAUGGUUUUAUGUUUUCAACUUGAGAGUUAAUGGAGCUUAAGACAUGGAAGAAAAUAGAGGUGUUAUUAAUUUUUGUUUUAAGUUUGAGAAAAUGGAAGAUAAAAUGAAAAUAUUAUUGUUGGAGAUUUUUAAAAUUUAGUGUUUCUAUUUCUAUAAUUAUGUAUAUUGAAAUUUGAAUGGAUCAUGAAAUUUGGUCUCAAAAUGAAAUAAAAUUUACUUUAAAACUCAAUUGGGACUAAGGCCCAAAUGGAAUUCGUUGUUAGGCCAAAACCGAUUAAGAAAAACCAAACCAAACCGAACUUAAAUGGUUUGGUUUGGUUUGGUUUUUCAAUGAAAUUAUGGUUGGUUCGGUUUUUAACUCCAUGUAAACUGAUUAUGUCGGUUGAUUUUUUGUUUAAAAACCAACUGAAGCAACCUUAUUUACACCCCUAGUUGUAUAUUCUCAUAUGGUUCUAUAUGGAUGUAUGUGUCUUUUUAGUGUUUUUGGAGAAUGUUUAAUCUUCUAUUUCUUUGAUCAGUUUUUGUAAAUCUAGAGAGGAUUCUUCAUCCUUUUCAUGUGUUUUACUCAAUUCUAAUACAUUUUGUUUCUUAACAAAAAAAAAAAAAAAGGGGGGAAAAAGAAGACUUCCAAUCCAAAGUGAAUAUCCAAAACUACAAACAAAAUCCACAAGGGACCCUCUGCAGCAGACUAAGCCAACCUGAACCUAAGAUUGCAGCAAGGGCAAUAAGACUUCUUUGAAUUGGGGAAUACCAGACUCAAUCCCCUCAAAGGUUCACUUAUUCCUCUCUUUCUAGACCCACCAGGCUAUAUAAUGACGAACAGUCCUCCAAACCUUUCUCCCAUUUUCCAUGUUAGGACAACCAUGCCCAUACAGAAGAAGCACCCAAGAAACUUGAAAUAGAUAGAACAUCAAAAACCACAACUCCCAACUCCCAGAUAACUAAACAUUGGAUUUGCAAAUAAUCAGCAGAUUCCUCAGCCCUCUUGCACAAGUGACACCAACUAAUCAUGCUCCAUCCUCUUACCCUUUUUUUAAAGAGUAAUUUUUUUUCUUGUUUUGCUUUUACAUGAAGCCUCAAGAGCAUACCGAUAAUCCAAUGACAAAUUUCUCAUCAAAACACAAUUUACACAAGGGAAGUCACCUCAAGCAAUGCAACAAACAUCCAUAACCUUUUAGAUGAGGAAAUGACCCUCUACUAAGGCAUUAAUACGUGGUAUUAAAACUUCACCAAGAAAAAUCCUAUGACAAAAGCCUUCCAUCUCAAAAUAUUCUUCCUUCCUGAUUGGAAUACAAAUGCUAAUAGCUUCCAAAAUUCCCUUACCACAAGUCACAAAUGUCAGGUUCCAAAGGGCUCUUCAACCCAAGAAAAACCCAAAUACCUAGCAAUGGAAGCCAUUUUGUCCCUUGAAAUGAAAAAAGGCAUUGGAAAUCUUAAGUGUUGUGCCGACUCUACAUAGCACAAAUCAAACCAAGACCUUACUCGCCCACCCAUCAUUCAAAGAAAAAGAAAGAAACAUCAAACUCAUCCCAGCCCUCUCUUAACCACCUCUUCCAACCUAUAUGCCUUAAGACAACCUCCUACAUAACUUGUUCUUUUUAGGAACUCCAGACUAUUUACCCAAAGAAGCUUUAUUUAACAUGCGCACCUUUUUAAACCCCAUUCCCUCCUUGGGAGGGAAACCACUUCAAUCAACCAAACAAAGCUCUAUUUCCCCUUAAUACCACCUCAAAGGAAGUCUUGCUGAAGCUUUUCAGAGAGUAGCCAACCAAAGCUGGCAUAAUGAAUGCAAACAUAAAAUAUACUGAUAGAACCAACAACAUGCUUUGUUAAUCAAGUAAUUCCACCUCCUUCGAGAAGAUACCGAUGCUUCAAGAGACUACUCUUUUCAUUCAAAUCUAUCCGCAACACAAUUCCAAUCCAAGUUAGUCAUAAAAGAAACUCCCAAUGGGCCUCUAGUUCCAACACGAUGGAACUGUUAAUAAAGAUAAGAAAUGAUCUCUACAAUCCAUCGAAUAAAUUAAGUCUUCUCCAAAUUAACCUUCAAACCAUAUGCAGUCUCAAAACAAAAUGUAACAUAGAUGAGAAAUCUAAGUUGUCCCCAUUCUGUGUCAUAGAACAGAAGAGAAUCAUUGGAAAAGGAGAUAUGAGAAAUGUUACACUCCUCCCACCCCUUAAUCCCACCAAAAAAAAAACCUUUGGAUCAAGCCACCUUCCAAAACCUUCUCAACCAAUCUACUAAAAGCUUCCAUCACAACUUCUGUUGUGAGAUCUCCAAAGUGGUUGUAUCUCCCUCAACAAAAAUACAAUUCCUUCUUGAAGCAAAACCAAUUAAUUUUCUCAUGGAACAAUGUCUAUAGCUCACAGAGACAGAAGGCUAUCGAUUGGAUAACCCUUAGGGUUAUCAUCUUCUUGUUGCUCGAUUUAUUAUCUUACCAUCACUAGUUAACUACAAAUGUUUGCAAUAUAUGAACAGGAGUCCACAACAGCCCAUGGUAUUUUAUUGUGAUAACUAAAAAGCUGUACACCAAGCUGAAAAUCUAAUUGUUCAAGGACAAAGCACAGAGAACUUGAUUGUAAUUUUGAGCGUAUAUAUCUUCAAAGUUCACUUUUUCCACCUACCAACACUUCCUCUCACAACCAAUUGGAGGAUACCUUCACCAACCCACUUGCUAAAGAUGAUUUUCAACGCAUUAUUAGCAAGUUGGGCAUACUUCAACAAGAGAGGACUAUUGGAAAUAAAUUCUUCCUAGUUAGCAAUAAAAGAGCAAGUGAUAACUGAAAUGGUAUAAUUGUUUUAAGAGUUGGAUUUAGAUUUCUUUGGUCUAUCCUCCAAUCAAAGGAUUAAUUGGGAAUACCUUUCAUCAUCAGUCUACAGUCAAGUCACUAUUAAUUCAAAAGAACGCAAUCUGACAGCAAGUUGAUUUUAUUUAAACAUUACAAUUCAUCAGGAUCAAAGAGUAGUAGCAUUUCUGAGCAAACUGAAGCGAGCUAAUACUUUUUCUUUUAACACAACAACCAAAAUGUACUUUAACCUUCAGUUUCCUACAUUUUUCUCAACAAUCAAGCAUAAUUCAAAGAGAAUCGAACCACAACAAAACAGCAAUUGAGUUCCAACGGCAAUCAACCACAAAACCCAAACUGAAACGUAAAAAUUCACAGGACAUAAGAAGAGUAGCUGUUCCGAAUCACACCUGAAGAAAAUCAACAUCCUUGAGUGGAUUAGGAGAAGCGUUGGAUGGAUCGGUGCGAUCCGGCUGAUCGGAGGCUUCGGAGGCGGAGUCCAAGGAUGACUUAGAGGGAGAAUGUUCCAUGGAUCGAGAGGACUCAACCUUCUCCACCGUUUCAGAUGCCACCUCCAUAACUAAGAAAGAUCUAGGGUUUCUGAGUCCAAAAUUGGUGGACUGUUAGAGAGAAAACGGUGGACUCGUAUAGAGAGAGUAGUUGGGGGGUUCUACGAGGCUAAUAACAGACAAGAAGCGCGCUGCGUGUCGACCUGUAGCGAUUGGAAUGUUGGAUUCUGAAUUCAGUUGCACUGGAUUAUACUUCUGGUAGUUUCCUGUUGACGUGGCAGAAUCAUGAAGCGUAAGGAGAAUAAUAAGCUGCGUGUAAGUGCAGCAUAAGAUAAGUUGAGAUGUCAAUUUCACCUUUUAUUUAUAAAGGUACAAAAGGACAAUUUUACAUGUUUUUAAUUAAAUUAAAAUAAGUGAUAAGAAUGCAAGAUAAUAAAAAACUUACAACAUAAAGAAAGAAAAAGAAAAUUGUAAAAUCUAUUUUAUAACAUAUCCAAACCCGAUUUCACUCUCCUCAAGCUCCAAUCAACUGAGGUUCUACACUCCAAAAGCUUCAAUCAAACCCUAAUUUAAAUUAUACUUUCAAAUUAUAUUUGGUUGAUAGAAUAAAAUAAGAUAUGUAUAUCAUAAUAUUUCAUAACUCAAAUAAGAAGUAUAUCGUUAUAUUAUAUUUAUAUUUAAUUUAUAAAAUAAAAAAAAAUUGAACUUAUAUUAUUUUUCAAUAUUGGGAUAUUUGUUUAACAAAAAUUAUGUUGUAUUCCAAUAUUUGCAAUUAAAAUAUUUAAAAUUUAUAAAUAAUUUUUUUAUAUUAUGUUAUUCAAAAAUUUAAAAAAUAAAACAUAUUACAUUUAUAAAACUAAGAAAGUGUCACGUGGGUGGUGCACGUGAGUAAUAAUAAUAAUUCUUUAAAUAUAUUUGUUUUACUUUUUGUUUUCAAAUUUAUUUGAGCGGACCAACCAUAACAUAAAAGGCAGAAAAUCAAUGGAAAGAAAAUACCACAUUCCAAUCUACCAAUUGUUGAAGUACAUAAAAUUUUAUGGGACUUUGGGUGCUAGAUAUUUAAAUUUAAUAUCUUAAUUAGUAUGUGUUGAUAUUUAAAAUAUUUAAAUGUGUACUAAAAUUGCCUUAUAUUAAUUAAUAAAGAAAAAAUUUACAAUGAAAAUCAACACUAUAAAAUUAAAAAUGUUUGAAAUACAAAACGGUAUUCUAAACUUUUUUUUUUUUUUUUUUUUGUAUUCCUUAAAACUCCUAUGGAAAACAAUAUUUGUUCUCACACUUCUUUAAGUCCGACCUUUCCGAGCCAUAGGCCUUUCUCUCAUGAGUAAUGACUCAUGUGUCUUACACUAUGUAGAUUUGAAUGUAUUGAUAAUGCAAUAGUUCGCUUUGUAUGCAUCAAAAUGCCAUUCCUCUUCCAAUUCAAGUUCACAAACUACGUCAAAAAGAUUCUUCGUUUCUCUAACUUUAAUCUCUUCUUUCAUAGCAAACUUUAUAUAAUCUCAAUGAUCAGGUAGAGACUACAUGAGGCCUUCAAUUGAUCCCUUUUAGUAAGAGAAGUAUUGGAUGUCCUAAGGUCUAACCUCAUAUUGUUCAUGUUACCUAUGUGUAGUGUCAUGGUAUGUUUUGGAUCAUCUUAUAUGUUUUAUUCAUUUUUCUUGUAGGUUAAAUAUUCGUAUUUUGUAGUCAUCUACAAUAAAUAAAUAAAUAAAUAAAAACAAAUUAAAAUAAAAAAAUAUAACAUUUUAUUUUAUUUUAAUAAUAAAUGAAAAAUAACAAACAUUAAGACAUGAAAGAGGGAGUCAUAGCCUCCACCAUCCCUUCUUCUCCACUGGUUAUGUGCCAAGAUCAAGAAAGAGUCAUUUAAUAGAUCUUAGAUAUAUGAGACUUCCAAAGGAUUCAAUCUCCAUCUACAUAAAAAGGAAUAGAUUUAGGAGCGUCCAAAUCCAAGGUAAUGUUUUCAUUUACACAUUAUAAAUCCUAUUAUUGUUUUAAAAUGCAAAUUUUUUUUUACUAUGCAUAGAAUUUAGAAAGCCUAAGAAAUUUUUCAUACUUCUAACCUGAUCCAGGUAUAGGGAACAGAGAGAUUCGAGUUUCCCUACAAGACAUUCAUACUUAAUGUGUCUCUGAUGCUUACACUUUAAACAUACGAGUUCCUUUUUUUCCUUGUCUUUACUUGAUGAUUCUUUCUCGUCUGACAUUUCUUUCUUUAAUGAGGAAUCUUUCUUUGGAUAUGAUUUCAUCUCUUUAAUCAUUUGAAACUUGAUAAACCUUUUUUAACUUCCUUACAAUGAGUAUGAGGUCUUUGUCUUCUUCACUAGCCUCUUCCUCAUUUUUUUUUCAAUUGUUAAGGCUUCAAAAUUUAUGUUAUUCUUCUUCUUAUCUUCCACUUUUUUAUGACACUUCGUUACAAUUCCAUGUGUCAUCAAGAAGUCAAUCAACUUCUUAAUAAGAAGUUUGGUAAGGUCCUUUGCCUCUUGAAUUUGCAUGACUUUGACUUGUCAUUGCUUGGGAAUGAACCUUUAUAUCUUGAUCACUUUCUUUGGUUCUAUGUAUACUUUUUCCCAAGGCUUGGAGUCAAUUGGUGAUAUUAGUGAACCUAGUGAACAUCUCAACAAUAAUUUCAUUAUUUUUCAUCAAAUAUAACUCAUAGUUAUGCACAAGAACAUUAAUCUUGGAUUACUUGACUUGAUUAGUUCCUUCAUCAAUUAGUCUUUAAGUCUCCAAAUAUCUUUGGUCGACUCACAUUGACAUACUUUAUUAUAUUCAUUACUAUCAAUUGCACGAUGGAAGUAAUAGAUGGGUCUUGCAUUUAAUUGAACUUUCUUCUUAUUAAGAUCAUCUCAUUCUUCACUAGAUUUUUUAAUAGCUACUCUAUUCCCAAUUUUAGUUAGAAUAUAAGGACCAUUCUGAAUGACAUCCCGGAGAUCAUAAUCAAUGGAUUUUAAAAACCAUUUCAUUUUUGUUUCCAAAUAAAAAUAUCAGGUCCUGCAAAGAAUAAAGGUCUAUUAAUUGAAAACUCUUUUAUAUGAAAUGAGUUUGAUGAAUUAGUCACAUCUUCUUACAUAGUUAAGUCUCAAUAAAGAGGUCUAACUUUGAUACUAAAUGUGAAAGAUGACUAAAUCAACCUAGGUAUUCACAUGAGAAGCAGUGUGAAUUAGGUGUUAAUCAAUUUUGCAAGUUUUUAAAAUUAAAUUAAAGCAAGUGAUAAGAACACAAGAUAAUAAGAAACUAAAAGCAAAUGAAGAUAAGUGAAUGAAGGAAAGGAGAACUAAAAGCUCUAUUUUAUAGUGGUUCAACCCAAACCCCACUGUACAUCCACUCUCAUCAAGCUCUAUUUGAGUGAGGGUUCUACUAGUUCCAAAGGCUUCAACCAAGCCUUUCUAAUUCACUUGGAUUCCAAGGUUCCACUAAAUCUUUACAAAAACUCUUCAAGUGAAAAUCCUCACUUGAACAACACUCUUAAAGGUUUUUAAAAAAAGUAAAGAUUGAACAAUUAAUCCUAGUAAAACAAAUAUAACUCACAAAUACAAACAAACUAAGAUUGAUUUAAUGGUGCACAAAAUAAUAAACAAGUGAAAAUAUAGAUGCACUUGAGAGCUUUCAAUAAGAUUUUGGAAGGUUAGCAAUUGUAUACUCAAGAUUAUAUGAUUAAAUGCUCUUAAAAACUUAAAUUUAUAGUUUGGCAUCUCAGGAACCCAAAAUCCACAACUUGGUUCAACUGCUUGAGCAACUUAUUUGACUAAUUGGCUAAUCGUGGGCAUUAAUUGUCAUAACAAGUGAUCUUUGAGCUCCAAAAGCUCAACUGAUCCUCUAUCGGUCGAGGUUUCAAUCUCGACUAGUUAAAAAUACCUCCAAGACCUUCAUGUUCACAAAAGAGCAUCUUGAUUUGUGGAACUUUACUAGUUCAUUUAGUUACCUUGAGCCUUAGUCGAUUGGAUUGACAUUGCACAAUUAAGACCAGAUAAAGGCUGAUAACUCAUGAGAAAACUUUCAACAUAUUUCAUAAACCCUUUAAAAUAUUUCUUAAAGAAUUUAAGCUCAAAUUUUUAAAUAAAUAAAUAAAUAAAAACUAUGAAAUCAUCCAAUUUAAUGAAAAUAAAUUUAAUUUAUAAUGCAUAAAGGGUGAUUUAAAAAUGUUAAGCGUAUGAAUAACUUGAAUUGACUCUAGUGUACCAAAAAAAAAAACCUAUCUUACAACACUUCCUAAUUCUUCAACAAGACAAGUGUUCAUUAGACAAGGUCAUCCAUUUAAUUUGUAGUUGAACCAUUAAUAGCAUUAAUAUAAUUUUAUUAUCAUCAAAACUUGACUAGGGGGAAUCUUGAACUAAUUGAAUAAAGCCAAAUACAAACAAGGGAACAAGUACCAAAAUGAGAACAAAAUUCACAAAGGAAAACCCUUCACUUUAUUUAUGGAAAAUUCUAAGAUACCCAAUACAACCCCACUAAGGUUUUGUAUUCUAUUGUUCAUAUUAUUCAUACAUAUUUUAGUUAUAUAUAUAUAUAUAUAUAUCUUGGUCAUAUUUUUCUUCUUUUUAUUAUCUUUAUUCUAAGAAAAAUAUUGUUCAUUUUUUUUUUAAUUCAAAAAGAUAUAUUCAUUUGGUUUCUUUUGGAAUAUGUAUUUAUACUAUAAAAACCGAAAUGUGAGGUUUUUUUGUAACUUUGCUUUCCCAUUUUAUUCUUUUUUUUUUUUAAUUAUUCACCAAACUAUCAUUCAUGCUUUAUUGGUGAGUUGGAUUGUUGUUGUUGCAGUAGUUGUCCGACCUUAAUAUGUAGUUUGAAUAGUUGUACAAGCCCUCUCAAUCUUCAAAGGGAGAAGUGACAACGAUCGGUGGUCCUUUGAAGUAAUGUAAGUCAAAUUCUUUUAUAUUUUACCUUCAAAUCGUUAAAUGUAGGAAUCUUUUUUUUCUUUUCUUUUCUGAUCUGAACCCAUUGUUUGUUUGUCGAGAAAAUGGAGCAGAAGAAAGGAAAGAAAGGAAGGGAAAUGGAAAGAAGAUUGUGUUUCACUCUUGUUUUCACAUCUUUUGUGUUUUUGUGUUCUUCUGGUUUGGGAGAAAAAAAAAUCAACUUCACAUCUUCCAAGCUAAGUAGAUGAAUUAGGCUCGUUGAAUUACCGGGGCUAGCAAUUGUGGUUGGGGUUUAAGUGAAUUUUCCAUAAAUGGGUUUGAUUGGUUGAGAUCUACAGUUUAAAGAGGUUCAACUUUUAAGUUCUCCGAUUUUCUUAAUCCGUUAUAUAGGAUUUUUUGAUAUCCUAGAUGCAUGUCUAGAAUGGAUUAUUUUCCCAGUUGACUAUAGUCGUAGUAACAAUAAGGUUUUGGUAUAUUUUAUAGAUGGUUUUGACUUUUUAACAUUUGAACUUUGGAGGGAUUUGUUUUCCCUUAGUGGAUUUUGACCGAUUCAGAAGUCUAACAAGCAAUUCUGAGUACUAUAUCAUUACUAUAACACCCCAAAUUAAUUCUAGGGGUAAAAUAGUAUAUUAUAAAUAAACUAAUUAAUUAAUUAAACUCAUUAAGGGUAAAUUGGUCUUUUUGCAAUUAAUAGUCCUGGGUAUAAAUUAGAUUUUGUUCUUGUAUUUUCUAUUCAAAAAACCCUAUUAGCAAAAAACUAAAGAAUUGGAGAACGUAUGGCUGAAAGUUUGGAGGUUUAGAGUUUAGAUUUUUUUUAAGUAAGAUUCUAACCCUAAAUUAAUAUAUCAAAUUCAUUGGUUAGUUUUGAACACAUUAGAUAAUCUUUAGAAAAUUUCAAUUUAGAUUAGGUUCAGUUUAUUUAAAAAAAUUUAGAUCAAAAUAUUGAAAUUAUGAAUACAGGUUGUUUUAUUAAUGAAAAUAGGAAAAUUCGAAAUUCUUUUUAGAUGAAUAGAUCAUAGCAAUGGAAUUAAAAUAAAUAAAUGAAUAUAUCAUUAUGUGUGGCUUGGGGGAUUGAAUAAUAAUAAUAAGAAGAAGAAUUACAUGAUUUUAUUGUGUUAGGUGAUUUAUGGAAGUGUAAAAUAAUAAUAAUAAUAAUAAGAAUAAUAAUAGUAAUAGGUUUUGUAGUUUUUGUGUGUACAAUGAUGAUUAGGAAAUAUAAGGUUUAUGUGUUUUGGAAGUGUAGAGAAAGUGACAAUUAGAGUGUGGACCCCGCAUUUCAGGUCGAUGCAUUCCCACUCGAUGGCAAAACUCGUUUUUUUUCAUUUAUUUAGUGAAAUUUUGAUUUUUAGAAAAAAACUUAGAGUCGCCACUUAUUUUUGUUUUAUUUUUUUAAAGGGAGAACAAAAUAAGAAAGAAAAAUCAUAAGUAUGACUCCUUAUUUGGAAAAACAGGUUUGUGAAAAACCGAGUUUGAGUUCGAGAGUCAGGUUACUCAUUGGGAAGGUACGGUAAAGACCGUAUCACCCUUCUAAGCCCCUAAAAAUGGGUCUCUACCAAAUAAGGUGAAGCAAGCAUGGCAAUUGAUAAGGAAAUCAAUGGAUACCAAUAAAAUGAUCGAAUAAUAAAAGAAAUCGAGCAUGGGGAUGAAUAAAUAGAUGAAGUAGAAGUAGGAGCGGACCUUAGCAGAAAGUAAUAGUGCGCUAUCAUGGAAACAAGGUUAGCUCAAAUAUAAAAUUAUCACAUGCAUAUCAAAUAUCAGGAUAAAAAUCAAGCAAUAUUCAUUAAGCAUGGCAGUGGAUAAUCAGAAGAGAAAACUCAUAUGUAGGGCCCCUACCAAAGCCCAAUUUAUCUUGCAUGAAUUGGUCUCACAAAUUUCAUUAUUUCAAAAUUAUGAAAAAAUCAUUAUUGCUUAUGUAAAAUCAAGAGAAACAGAAGAUUAUUUGAAAACCAGAGUGGAAUUAAAAUUGUUCAAAAGAAAAUUGGAUUUUUGAAAGUUAUUUGAAAAUUGAAGUCUCGAAAAUUAUUUAAAAAUUGGAGUCUUGAGAAUUAAAUUUAGGAAUUGGAAUUUCGAAAAUUAAAUUUAAAAGAAAUUGAAAAUUUUAAAAUUAUUUGAGAAUUAGAGUUUUGAAAAUUAAAUUAAGGAAUUGAAACUUUGGAAAUUAAAUUUGAAAGAAAUUAGCAAAUUAUUUGAGAAUUGGAGUUUUGAAAAUUAGAUUUAAGAAUUGGAAUUUUGGAAAUUAAAUUUGAAAAAAAUUAGAAUUAUGAAAAUUAUUUGAGAAUUGGAGCUAUGAAAAUUGGAAUCUUGUAAAUUAUUUGAAGAUGGAAUUUUUAAAAAUAAAUAAAUAAAUGUGAAAAUUGGAAUUUUGAAAAUUGGAAAUUAAAUUCGGAAAUUGGAAUUUCAGAAAUUAAGAAUUAAAUUUGAAAAUCGGAGUUUUGAAUAAUUAUUUAAAGAUGGAAUUUUAAAAAUAAAUAAAUAAAAUAAUAAUAAUAACGAAAGUAAUAAUGAUUAAAUAAAUAAGUAUGGAAAUUGGAAUUUUGGAAAUUGGAAAUUAAAUUAAAUUUGAAAAUCGAAGUUUAGAAGAUUCAUAUGGAAUUUUUAAAAAUAAAUAAAUAAAAUAAUAAUAAUGAAAAUAAUGAUGAUUAAAUAAAUAAAUGUGAAAAUUGGAAUUUCGGAAAUUAGAAAUUAAAUUUGAAAAUCGAAAUUUUGAAGAUUCAUUUGAAGAUGGAAUUUUUAAAAAUAAAUAAAUAAAUAAAAUAAUAACGAAAAUAAUGAUGAUUAAAUAAAUAAAUGUGAAAAUUGGGGUUUUGGAAAUUGGAAAUUAAAUUCGAAAAUUGGAAAAUUGGAAUUUCAGAAAUUGAUAAUUAAAUUUGGAAAUCACAAUUUUGAAGAAUUACUUGAUGAUGAUGAUGAUAAUAAUAAUAAUAAAUAAAUAAAUAUAUAUAUAUAUAUAAAUAAAUAAAUGUGAAAAUUAGAAUUUUGGAAAUUAGAAUUUCAUAAAUUGAUAAUUAAAUUUGGAAAUCAGAAUUUUGAAUAAUUAUUUGAUGAUGAUGAUGAUGAUGAUAAUAAUAAUAAUAAUAAUAAUAAUAAUAAAUAAAUAAAUGUGAAAAUUGGAAUUUUGGAAAUUGAAAAUUAAGUUCGAAAAUUGGAAAAUUAGAAUUUCAAAAAAUGAGAAUUAAAUUUGGAAAUCGAAAUUUUGAAGAAUUAUUUAAAAAUUGAAUUUUUUUUAAAAACAAAUAAAUAAAACAAUAAUAAUAACAAAAAUAAUAAUGAUUAAAUAAAUAAAUAUGAAAAUUGGAAUUGUGGAAAUUAAUUUUGAAAGAAAUUGGAAUUUUGGAAAUUAAUUGAGAAUUGAAGUUUUGAAAAUUAAAUUUAAGAAUUAUAAUUUUGGAAGAUUAAAGUUUUUAAAAUUAAACUUAAAAAUUGAGGUUUUGAAAAUUUAAAUUUAAAAAAUGAAAUUUUGGGAAUUUAUUUGAAAAUGGGAUCCUUAAAAAAAAUGAAUUUGGAAAUUGUAAUUUUUGAAAAAAUAAUUUGAAGAUUGAAGUGACUAAAAAUCCAGAAUUUUUGAAAGUUUAUUUAAAAAAAAAAAUUGGUGAAAAUGUGUGAGCAUAAAGGCUUAAAAAAGGUGUAUGGGCAUAUGUGCCCCAUGGAUGGCCCAUCAAAAGUCCUCCAUUGACCUUAUUGCCAUAAAAUGAUUCCUAAGCAAGAAAAACCAUUAAUGGCUCUGGAACCUUCAUUUCACACAUAUUGCCCCUAUUUUCAACAUACACAUGAGGAAUAUCAAUAACAAAAGGUCCAGAUGCGCACAAACUAGUUUAUCUGCUACAGUGUAGAGCCUUGAUCUGGAGCUUAUGGAAACAUCAGGAAACAGCCCUUUCUAGUCCCAUCUGGCCACCCAAAGUAGCCCAGACAUCAGUCCUCUCUCGCUGCCCCAACACCUCAUCCUUGGGGUGGCAAAAAAAAAAGGGGGAAUAAUAAUAAUAAUAAUAAACCUCCUAUCCAAGAGGGUCUACAUAGAGGCAAUGAAAGCAAUGGAAUAAAAAAUAAAAAAAAAUGAUGAAACCUUAUUUCUUUUUAUAGGUUUUGAUAUGUGUCGAAGACAAGUGAAUAAUGGGUUAAUUGGUUAUUAAAUUUGAUAACAGAUAAAAUAAUAAUAUUUAGUUUUAAGUUAAUAAAUAAUAUAUUAGUAACAAUGGUUGUUUCUUUUAUGUUAUGUUAGGUGAAGAGUAGAUUUCCCAUAAUUAAUUUUUUUUUCCAAGGUUUUUGAGAACUUCCUUUGAGGUAAGAGAAAUUAAUAUAGACUUUACAAAAGAAAAUAAUUUUUUUAUAUAUGCUGUUUGAAAUGUGUAAAUGUUAUUUUUGCUUUUAUACACAAAUCAAAUAUAUUUUUGCAUGAAAAAUAUAUUAUGACAUUUCUUUUGUUUAUAAUAAAACAUAUGAAGAUAUUAUGUUUUCGUAAGUUUGAAUAAAUAAAAUAAAGAAUUUGACUUUGGUUUGUUUGGUUCUUAUCAAUGAGAUAUAAUAGUUGACUUUUCGACCUUUAUUAAUGAGAUAUAUUAGUUGACCUUUACAUUUUCAUGAUAAGGAAUGUAAUUGAUUUAGACCUCAACCUUUAGGGGUUUGGUUAGAGGUUACUAGUAUUAGUAAUAUUUAAUUCCGUUCACCUUAAAAGGAACAAUUGAGGCUAGCUACCCAUUUGUAAAGCCCUACUUAACUAGGCAUUAUUUGUUAUUUGAUACCUAGAGUGAAAAUAAUUGAAAUGUAUUUGAUUUAGGGAAAAAUGCUCAUACACCCCUUAAACUUUUAACUACCGGUCAAAAGACCCCCUUAACUUUUUUAUUGGCCAAUUUACUCCUUAAACUAUUCAUAACUAACAAAUUAAUACUUCAAUUAAUCACACGUUAAAACACUAACGGAAUAAACACAUGCCACUCACGUGGCUUUUAAAUACAAACUGAAAAACACCUAAACAUCCAAAACCCAACGGAAGAUAAGAGAACCAGUCCAGGUCCGGCAAAGAAAGAGAGAGAGAGACUGCACGCCGUUCAUAGCCACUACCAAGCUUCUCUCCGCCGUCUCGCCGCCCUUGUCCCGGCGGCUCCUUGGUGGUUCCGCCGUACUGUUCAAUCUGGGUAUGUCUUUUUUUUUUUUUUUUUCUUCUUACGUCUUGCUAUUUAAAUUUUCUAAGAACUUUUUUUUUUUUUUUUAAUCUCCAUUUGCGAAUUUUUAUUGUAGAAAUUCUUGUUUUGGUUUAAUUUCUGGGUUGGGUCUCUAUGAAAUUCUUGGUUUUUUACUUUCUCCAUGUGCCUUUCACCAACUAUUGCAUUUGAGUAUGCCAUAGAACUGUUUGAUUAAAUGCCUGAGAGAGAUAUGGCUACUGCUAAGGGGGUUUGGUUGCUUGGUUAUCCAAUUUUCCAAAUAUGCUGGCCUUCCAAGUUUCCCUUGCAACCCAUUUGCAACAAAAACAUAUCAAACACGAAUUAUUAUUUCUUCCCAUUUGCACUUCAAUUAUUAUUUCUUAAUUUUCUCCUUCUUCAUGUAGAAAUCAACCCUAAAUAUUUCCCUUAUUUGUUUCAGCAAAUCAGAUAAUGUAAUUUACAAGCUCAAAGAGAUGGGAAAGAUUGGGGAGAAAGAUAUAUUGCUGAUCUGCGAUUACUUCAGUAAGCUUGAUCGCAACAACUUUGGGAAGAUAACACUACCAGAUCUUUAGGAACCUUAUGACUGCAAGAAUUAUGAAAUCUGUUUCUAUUCUUUAGAUGGAAGAAAUGUAUAGUUACAUUUUUUUUCUUCUUCCAUUGAUACUUGUAAAGGUUUCAAGUCAUAUAGGAGCAAUGAAAAAUAGAAGCCAAUGGGAUAUGUCCCCCUUCUGUUAUAGGUUCUCUUACAGCCAUUAAAUUGAGAGGCUGCUAUGGAGGGUUUGAGUUGUGUGAUGUAGAUUUGACACUGUAAUAAUUCAAGUAGUCAACAAGGAAAGUAAACAAUCUUGGGAUGAUCUUACUUCUUCUCUUUAUUUUGAUUCAAGUUGUAUGAGUGAUUUGGUUGAUGCGUACUUCUUCUCUUUAUGCAAUAACCACCAAAAAUGAAUGUGUCCCAAUCUGCCAUGAUUUGAACUUUAUGCAAUAACUCUAAGAAAAUAAAUCAAUAAUUACACUUUUCCAGCAAUAUUGAAAAACAAAAGUAUACUGGCUCCAUCAGUAUUCUUAAAAGGAUCUCAAUAUGCCAUGAAUUGAAAUAUCAAAUAAGUGUUCACAAAUGGUAUAUUGUUUGCCAAAAAAAUAACACUCAAUGAAUCAAUAAUUACACUUUCCAAGCAAUAUUGAAAAACAAAAGUAUACUGGCUCCAUCAAUAUUUUUAGAAGGCUGUGUAUCACUAAACAAAUUAUUGAACUAAAAAAUUAUUUAUCUUCUUACUGCCACUAAACCUUAGCCUUUCCCUUAUCCUUCUUGCUUCCACUAGUGUUGUCCUUUGUACAACUUUGACUUGACUGUUGAGUACCUAUAUUUGAUUGCUGAGUACCCUAUAAAAAGCCAAAAAAGUUGAAAAAGUUUAACAAAGUAGUACUUGAAAUUUGGAUGAAAAGUUCAACAAAGUAGUACUUGAAAUUUACCAAUAAUUUUUUACUCCCUUUAGCUCCAGAUGUAGAUGAUUGUUCUAAUUGCCCUUUCUUUUUCUUUUUAUAAGCCUUCUUGUUGGGGUUAUCAGGAGCUUUACAAGUUCUUUGAUUAUGGCCCCACUGGAAACAAUUCCCAUAUUUCAUGGCAGUUCCUUUCUUGCUCACCCUAAAUGCAUUAAUAGGUUCUCCUGCCUCCCUCUUUCUUACCUUCUUAUGCUUGCCUACUUUCUUUGUAAAUUUUGGGGGCUUGAUUAGGUCAUUGGGUGUUUUUGGCCAUUGUUCAUGGCUUGGAAGUGGGCUUAUCAUCCAUUGGUAACAACUUAGGAAUGUCUCCUUAGUGUAAGCAAUGUCUACAUAAGUCUCAAGUUGCUCUCCAUGCUCAAUUAUUAUAGCAGCAGCAUGAAAACAUGGGAUUCCACUCAAUCCCCAUCUCCCACAACCACAAGUCCUCUCAUUCAAGUCCACCACAUAUCUUCCACCAUAAAUAUACUCCACCUCAUAUUUGGACUCUCCAUUCCAACGAGAAAUGCAAUGUCCAACCUCGCUUUUUAUCCUCUCAAGCUUCUUAUAGAUUCUUGGACAAACCCUCCCUUCAUGCCUUCUCAUAUGAUCUCUUUUGGUUUGCAACCUUUGCAUCAACAUCACUCUUAUGAUCUCCAUCAUUGUCAACACUGGUUUAUCCCUAACCUCCAAAAUCCAAGCAUUGAAAGACUCUGCUAUAUUGUUUACUAGAGUGUCACUCUUGCUUCUUGGAUUAAAAGCAUGUCUGCUCCAUAUUCUCACAUCUAACUUCACAAGCCACUCAUAUGCCUUCACAUCUAGCUUCUUCAACUCAUCCAUGUGGAAGUCAAAAGAAUUCUUUGUUGUUGCCCUAGCAGCACUCCACAUUGCAUCUUUGAGUACCUUCCCAGGAAAAUCCUUCUUGAAAUUUGCAUGUAAAUGCCUAACACAAAAUCUGUGCUCUGCAUUAGGCAUCAAAUCUUUAAAGGUCUCUACUAAUCCUUGCCAUAAAAAAAACGCAAAUAUACAUUAGUUAUUCAUUUUCAGGUUAUAGAUCAUGAUAUUUUUAAAAAAUAAAUAAAUAAUUCACAUGCACAUUAAUUGUUUCUUGCCUUCUGUCGGUCUGAGAUAAAGACCCAUCCAUUCUCAUCCACAUGUCCAAUGUCAUCCAACAAGCAUUGUAGAAACCAGGUCCAAGAGCUUUUAUUCUCAAUUUCAACGAUAUCAAAAGCGAUUGGGGAGAUAUUAUCAUUCACAUCCUUUCCAACAGCAACCAGCAACUGUCCACCUGUUGUCCCCUUCAAAUGACAACCAUCUAUCCCAAUAAGUGGCCUACAACCUGCUAAAAAUCCCCUUUUGCAAGCAUCAAGACAAAUAUACAUUCUCUCAAACACAUCAUUCGUAGUUUGUAUCUUCACUGUGCUACCCACAUUCCACUUCCUAAUAGCAGCUGCAUAGUCCCAAAGUCUCUCAUACUACUUCUCCUCAGCACCAUGUAUCAUCUUGAAUGCCAUUCUCUUAGCCUUAUAACAUUGGUCCAAAGUCACAUCAACUUCAUGGUCCCUAAACACUGCACCUUUCAAUGCAUUUGCUGUCCAAGUAUGAUCAUCUCUAAAGAAUGGCAAAUAUUUAUUGGCUAGCCACCUUGAAGAAAUCUUACUAUUCUUAUGAUCCUUGCCACACGUAUGAAUGCUUUUAAAACUUUUGAUUUGAAAGGCAUCUCCCAUUUGUGUUUGGGAUGCAUGUAUCUUCCAACCACAUUUUUUUUUACAUACAGCUGUCACUCUCCACUUAUCAUUGUGCUUAUACUCAAAAUCAUGUUUUUCUUUAAUACACCACUCCUUUAGUGCCUCCUUGAAGAUGACAUGUGAUGCAAAUUUUUGAUCCUUCACUAGCUGUACAUUCUCCAUGCCAAUGCGCUGGUUAAACUCAGGGAACCUAGGCCUUGAAUUCCCUUCAUCAUCAUAUGACCCUUCUGCACUCCUUAACUCAUCACUAUCCCCAUGAUCUGAAUCUCCUUCACCAUUCCAAACUCCCUCAAGCUGAUUGCCUCCAAUUACUCUAUUGAUUCCAUCAUCCUCCAUACCAAAAUCUUCAAUUAUAUCAUCAUCAGAUUCAGAAAAAUCACUCAAAUUGUAAUCUUCGUCAUCCUCGUCAUCCUCCACAUCAAUUGGAACAUUAACAAUUUCAUAUUGGCCAUCAGCCUCAAUAAAAUCAUAUUGGGAUUGAGGGGCUUGUACAUUUGGCAUAGAAGGUGAAUUUCCAGGGAGUGACAGUGGACUUUCAUCCAUGGCUACAAUACAAAAUUAACAAGAACAUUAAUAGAAGAGCUGGAGAAAACAUAAUUAAAAAAAAAAAACAAUAUAGAGAAUAGUGAGAAAAAAAAUAUAACAAUUUGCUCAUGCACAUGUGCAUGAUUGCUGCUAGUUCAAUUCACAUAAUUCAAAAUAUUACAACAUGCUAGCUUAGUCAGUAGACCAUAUGGCUGGAAUCAUUACACCGAGACCCAGUAUCUUUAACACUAACCAAAAGCCAUAUCUUUAACAGUAAACUAUAUAUUACAUAUUAAUAUUACUUAGCUGCACCCAGCAUCUUUAGGGGAAAAAAAAAAAAAAAGAUGCACCUAGCAACAGUAGAAAAAUGUAAAAAUUAAUAAUAUUCUUUUGAAUGGAUCCAUAUUCCAAAGUAUUUAGAAACCUUAAAUCAAUUGAGUUACAAAGACAUUCGGUGAUCAAAUUCCCUCUAUCCCAACUAAUGAAUUAUCAUAAAAAAUAAACUUAUUUGGAUCAAACUAGGUAAAAUCUUUAGUGACUUAAUGCAAAUUUUGAAACUAUGUUUAUGAUUUUUCAAUAUCAACUGCUUCGUCAUUGCAAAUGUUGCAUAAGAUGGUUGUUAAGACAUUAAGACCGUAAGGCUUACUUACAAAGUGACCUUGCCUGAACAUAUGGAAAAACUACAUUAUCUUCUCAUAAUAAAAAAGAAAAGUGCUACACUAAUUCUAUAGUGUAAUUAGACAUGGCAAGUUUGGACCAAACUGGAACACACUAAAAAUACCAAGGGAUUCAUAAACAGGAUUUUGGAUGUUCAUGAUCAAUCCUUAUGUAGCUCUGCAUUAUUUCUUGGAUGGAUACAAGGCAUAUUUGCAAGUGACAAAAUUAAUGAAAUUUCUCUAAUUGAAGAUUUAGUUAUUGGCUUCUGGAUCAUUACAGAACCAAUUAUUGUGUUUGAUAUUUUUUUGUAGCAAAUGGGUUGCAAGGGAAACUUGGAAGGCCAGCAUAUUUGGAAAAUUGGAUAACCAAGCAACCAAACCCCCUUAGCAGUAGUCAUAUCUCUCUCAUGCAUUUAAUCAAACAGCUCUAUGGCAUCCUCAAAUGCAACAGUUGGUGAAAGGCACAUGGAGAUUAAAAAAAAAUAAAAGUUCUUAGAAUAUUUAAAUAGCAAGACGUAAGAAGAAGAAAAAAAAAAAGACAUACCCAGAUUGAACAGUGCGGCGGAACCACCAAGGCACCGUCGGGACAAAGGCGGCGAGACGGCGGAGAGAAGCUUGGCAGUGGCUAUGAAAGGCGUGCAGUCUCUCUCUCUCUCUCUCUCUCUCUCUGCCGGACCUGGACUGGUUCUCUUCUCUUCCGUUGGGUUUUGGAUGUUUGGGUUUUUUUUAGUUUGUAUUUAAAAGCCACGUGAGUGGCAUGUGUUUAUUCCGUUAGUAUUUUAACGUGUGACUAAUUGAAGUAUUAAUUUGGCAGUUGUGAAUAGUUUAAGGAGUAAAUUGGUCAAUAAAAAAGUUAAGGGGGUCUUUUGACCAGUAAUUAAAAGUUUAAGGGGUGUAUGGGCAUUUUUCCCUUUGAUUUGAAAUGGAUAUGAAAUAAUUUUGAUAUAUAUGAAAAUGUUUGGUUGAAUGAUUUAAAUGUAUUAGCAUGUUUGACUCAAAAGUUUUAUAAAAAGAGUAUAUUUUAUAUCUCCUGUUUGUAAGUAUAAUUGAAAAUAUUUUAUUCAUGAAAUUGUAUUAAUAUUCCUUAUUGGAUUUUAAGUUCAUCCCGCUUUGUUGAUAAUUUUUCAGGUACCCUCGAUUCGGACGAGAAUUGACAAUUAGAAGGGUAAAUUAGUGUAGACCCCCUCAACGGCAGCAGGUUUUUCUUUUCUUUAGAUUAUUAUUUUAUUCCAUUUUCUUUUGCUUUUAUUUUUUCUCUCUCUUGUUCAAAACCCGAGAAUGAGCUGGGGGUGGCAUCCAAAACAGGGCGGCCAUAGGACGAGAUGGGCAGGUUUUUUUACGGCGAGAUGGGACGGGAAAGCAAGUAGAGACUUGCCAAGGAAGAUAGAAACAGGGUGAAGCUUGAAGAAAAAGGGAAAAGAGCUGAAAACCAGAAGGAGGCGAGAGAGGUUACGGAGGGUGGGAGACGGAGAAAGAAGUGGGCGGGGAAGGUUUUUUUUUAGAAGGGGCUUUCCAGGUACGAACCCCAUAUUCACCAUUGUCCCUGUUUGUUAUUUUCUCUACUUUGUCUCCGGAUAUUAUUGUUUGUUUCAGUUAUGUAUAUCAGGCCAUAUUGUUAGCUUUCCUUGAUCUCUAGAAUAACCAUGGAUUUGUGAUCAUUAUUUUAUCAUCUUUCCCUCUUGGUUUUGUUGAAGAGUAAGCCGACUCUGUUUUUAGCUUCACUAUGAAAUAUCUCAGCAUUCACUCCCAUAUUUUUGUAUGAACCUAUGGUCUUUCAAUCCGUUAGCAAGCUUGUUGAAUGAAUCAUGAAACGGGCUUUGCACGUUUUUUUAUUUAUUUAUUUUAUUAUUCCCAUUUUUGGUACUCUGUUCUUGCCGUUUCCUCUGUUACUGGAGGUGCAAAUGUCCCUGCAAUGAAUGAUCUUUUGGCACCAUUUGAGAUUGUUUUUGGAAGAUGAGACACCCAAUGGUGAUUUUUCUAUUGACGGUGAGCACGGUCAAUACGCAGUUAGAAUAGAUAUUGUAAGGUUACCCAACCAAGGAAGACGCGAAGGAGACCUAUUUUUAACAGGACAUGAUGUCGCUCCUCUUGAUUGUUAUGCUGGGAAUAACAGAGUCCAAAUGAAGAUCCCAAGGGUAUUAUGUGCUGAUGGCAUUUGUGUUUUUUAUGCUCAGUUUGUUGUUGGCAUUCCCUGCUUGCACGUGAUGCAUGCAUGCAUGGCCAUAUGGAACAUUUCAUCUUCCAUUUUCUCAAGAACCCAUCAUUCAUACCCAUUUCAUAAUUCAUAUUCACCAUAUUCCCAUGAAAACAUCUCACCAUUUUCCCAUCACCUUCAUAUCUAUAUUCCUAUUACUCAUAUUAUAUGUUCCACCGCUUCUCGUUUUAUAUCCCUCAUGCCUCAUGCACCACCUCUCACAACCAUUUCAUGCAUACCCAUUUCCCACUGACCAUUUCCUUCUCACCACCUUUCUCUCACUAGCUCGUUCCAUAUCACUCAUCCCAUGCAUGCACCCAUAGCCAUCAAACCCAUUGUUUCAUACCCAUUUUCCUUCCCAUCACCCUUUCUCUCACUAGCUCGUUCCAUAUCACUCAUCCCAUGCAUGCACCCAUAGCCAUCAAACCCAUUGUUUCCUACCCAUUUUCCUUCCCAUCACCCUUUCUCUCACUAGCUCGUUCCAUAUCACUCAUCCCAUGCAUGCAUCCAUAGCCAUCACCCUUCAUACCCAUGCAAACCAUCCAUUUUCAUACCCGGCUGCCCACCAUACCCAUGCUAUGCUCAUCUCCAUAGGAAUCCCAAAGCCACCCACCUACAUGCAUGGGAAUCGUGCAUGCAUGGCCACCCCCCAUGGUUGCCAUUCAUCAACACAUACCCAUGCUAACCUCCAUACCCGUAUCCUCCAUGCCCUCAUGUAUAUCACCACCCUCCCAUGCAUAGCUAUCCUCCACUUACCCAUUUUUCUUCUUCUUACCACCUUUCUCUCUCUACACCACAUACCCUUCACGCACUGUUUUCUCUCUCUACACCACCACCACUACCAAACCCUCAUUUUCUCACUAACUCACUCACUUUCUACUCCCUACCCGGUUAUCUCUCUACACCACAUACCCAUUUUCCAAAUACCCAUCAACCCACCUUUGCAUGGCCACCUUUCUUGGCCCACUUCCAAAGCCCACUAAACUUAUUUUCUUGCACAAUGGAUUGGAGAAGCCCAAGGCCCGUGAGUGCAUUUUGAAGGCCUUUCUCCAUUUUAGGGUCAUCUCAAAGUGCAUUUUGAAGCCCAGGCCCGUGAGCAUCAUUUUAAAUUUUCUCUCCACCUUGGCCCAUUCCUAAAUGCUCCCAUUUGCUUGGUUAUCACCCUUGGCCCAUUUCCAAAGCCCUCAAAUUUUAAAAGUUGAUUUAUGGAAAUCUAGCACCCAAAUAAUUUUAUCUUACAAAUUUUCAUCUUUAAAUAAUCCUUUAAAAAUUCCGAUUUCUAAUUUCAAAAAUUUCACUAUUUACGUUCAUCUAUUUAAUUAUGGUUUUCAUUAUUAUUAUUAUUAUUAUUAUUCCACUUAUUUAUUUAUUAUUAUUAUUAUCAUUUUACCUAUUUAUUUUUAAAAAAUUCCACAUUCAAAUAAUUUCCAAUAUUUCAAUUUUUUAUAAUUUAACUUUCAUAGUUUCUACUUCCUAAAUAAUUUCCAAAAUUAUGCUCUCUUUCGAAUCUAAUCCCUAAAAUCUCAAUUCUUAAAUUUAAAUUUUCAAAACUCUAAUCCUUAAAUAAUUUAUUAAUUACUUUCAAAUUUAAUUCCCAAAAUUCCAAUUUCUAAAUUUAAUUUUCAAAACUCCAAUUCUCAAACAAUUUACUAAUUUCUUUCAAAUUUAAUUUCCAAAAUUCCUUAAAUUUAAAUUUUCUAAACUCCAAUCCUUAAAUAAUUUACUAAUUGCUUUCAAAUUUAAUUCCCAAAAUUCCAAUUUCUAAAUUUAAUUUUCAAAACUCCAAUUCUCAAGCAAUUUACUAACUUCUUUCAAAUUUAAUUUCCAAAAUUCCAAUUCUUAAAUUCAAUUCCCAAGACUCCAAUUUUCAAAUAAAUUUCAAGAAAAUCUAGUUUUCUUUCCAACAGUCUUAAUUUCAUUAUGGUCUUCAAACAAUCUUCUGCUCCUCUUGUUUUUAAUAAGCAUGAACGAAUUUUUCGUAAUUCCAAACAAUGGAAUUUAUGGGAUUAAUUCAUGUAAAAUAAACAGGUUUUGGUGGGGGUCCCACUUAUGUGACUGAUCGAUUGAUUGACUAAUAGAUCGAUUUGAUUAUGAUACAUGAUUGAUUUUAUUCUGCUCUAUGACAUGCUCGAAACUAAUCCUUAAUUGCGCACUAACCUCACUUCUUGAUAGCGCUUUAUGGAUCACUGCCCAGGUACGCAUCCACAUCCGCUCGGGUCAUUUUCUGUAUGCAUGUUUAGAUGUUUAGAUUCUCACAUGUGCAUGAUCACUCUGAGUAUUCAUUGAUUCCCUCAUCAAUCGCCAUGAUUGCUUCAUUUUAUUAGUAGAGACCCGACUUUAGGGACUUAGAAGGGUGUUACGGUUUUUAUCGUACCUUCCCGAUAAGUAACCUGACCCCCGAACCCGAUCCGGUUUUUCGUAAACCACCUUUUCCAAAAUAAGGAGUCACACUUAGGGUUUUUCUUUCUUAUUUUGUUUACCUUUUUUAAAAAUAAAACAAAAAUAAGUGGCGACUCCAAGUCAUUUUCUUAAUCAAAUAAAAAUCAAUUUUUCAAAAUAAAAAUCGAGUUCGCCAUCGAGUGGGGAACGCAUGAUCCAAAAUACGGGGUCCACAAUUAGUUUGUUAGGACAUUUGUUAAAACACUCUUUAUUUUGGACAUUGUUUAGAUGAUAAAAUUUAUUUCCCAUUUAAAUUAUUUGAAUUUAGAGUUAUUUGGACAAUAACACUUGGGUUGAUGUGUUAGUUUUCUAAAAUUGAUAUCCGGAGAUUUUAGAAUUUAUUAAUUUUACUACUCUGAACAACAAUUUGGUAAUUGGUAAUUUCCAAUUAUAAGAUGAAUGAUUAUGUCAUUUCCACUUUGAGCCUUUAGGCUUGAGGUGUGAAAUGACCGUCAUACCCUUGGAGUGGGUUUUGGGACGUGACUAUUACAAGAUAGGUUUACCAUAGGGUUACAGAGUAAAUUUUUUUUGAUGGAUUUAAAGUUUUGAACCUUGAGGUGUAAAUCUUAAGAAAAGAGUUUUUGAAAUUACGGUGGAAGCCAUUAUGUCCCAGGGCAUACUUGUUUUUCUUUUGUUGUUUAAACAGAGCUGGUUAAGCCUCUGUAUCAGAGCCCAGCUUUCAUACUAUCAUCAGCCUUAUCAUCUAGUGUUUAGAAAAAAUAAAAAUUUUAUAGUCCAAAAAAUAUUUUCUUUUAAAAAUAAAAAAUAAAAAAUAAAAUAAAAUAAAAUAGGAAAUCUAUAAAAAAUAAAAAAAAUUAAUUAAUUUUUUCUAUAAAAAAAUUAUUUCCUGAAUUGUAAUUUUUUAUUUUUAAUAUGAAUACUAAAUGGUAGAUAGGAAAUCUGGGUGGGCCACCAAUUUCCCUGAAGGCUCUCACAAGCCCACAACACUGACUCACAGCCCAGUUAAAAUGAGAAUGCAAGAGUUUGGUGGGCCAAGUUCCAACCCACUCUAUUUAGCCUAGUUGGCCCAAUUGGUUUCAAAACAAGCCUUGUUCCAGUUUGUUAUUUUUAAACACAAAAAAAAAAAAAAUAAUGUUUAUAUAAACUGAAAAAAAGAAAGUAAAUACUUACCUGAAAAAAAAAAUUGGUUUCUGAAAUAAAAAAUUUACGUAUCCUUUGUCUAAGAAUUCCUACAUUUUAUAUAGAAAUUGCUACUAUUUUUUAUUUUUAAAAAUAAAAAAUAGAAAGUAUAUCAGACUGUAUUUUAUAAAUAUGUUUUCAUUUUUAAAAUUAUUUGCUAUAUGCUUGUUUUAAAUUUUUUAAUAAUUCAAAAUUUUCUCGGUUUAUUAGUAAAAUGAAAAUUCCAGGCAUGAGUCACCACAGCUAAAAAUAAAAAAUUUAUCUUAUAUUAUAAGAUACUAGGAAGAACUUGGGCUUUGAGUUGGAGUUGGGUUGGGCUUUUUGGUGAUUUGGACUUUCCGAAGCAGGCCCACAAAGAAACUGGGAACCUAGUGGGGGGCAUCAUUGGUGACAAGUCCACAUCCAGCAUGGAAAAUGGGUAGUGCCACGUUGGAAAAAUGAUGUUGACGUGGUCGCUUAAGUGCUGAGUCAUGUGCAAGUUAUAUGGACACCUUUUUAUGAUGUGUACAAUUCCAUGGGUGGAUCCCAAUGGCUUCCAGUUCAGGGAAAUUAAUGGGCCUUUGGGCCCACCCGACAUGAUAUUUUUGACAUGAGAAAUGUUGAAUGACCUAUAGCAUCAUUUGAAACAUCCAAUUUCAAAAUUAUUAUUAAAAAAAAAAAGGAAGAAAGAAAAAAAAUAAAAAAAUAAAAAGGAAGAAAUGGCCUAAUUGAGGUUUUACCUUGGGUGCUUUUUAAUUUUGGUAAAUUUUGAACUAAUUCAUAUUGGUGUAAAAUUUCAAAAUGAUUUGAAAUUUGAUCAAAUACUUUGGCGGGAAAUCUCUUAAAAGUUCCAUUUUACAAUAAUUUUAGAAAGCGUUUUUUACUUAAAAAAUGUUUUUAAAAUAAAUUAAAAGUUUGUUUGAAAAUGUUUUUAAUAUUUAUAACACUUAAAAAUUUUCAUUUUUAAAGUAUUAAAAAUGUUAGAAACACUUCAUAUAAUCACUGUAAAACGCAUUUUAAAAGCUCACGCUUUUAAUAUUUCUAAUAUUUGAAAAUUUUUAUCUUUCAAGUAUUAAAAAUGUUAGAAACACUUUCUAAAACCACUUCCAAAUACAUUUUAAGAGCCUGUUUUAUAGUGAUUUUAUGAAGUAUUUCUAAUAUUUUUAAUACUUAAAAGGUAAAAAAUUUUAAGGGUUAGAAAUACUAUAAACACUUUUAAGAAUCACUACUAAACAUACUUUUGUUUUUAUGCUUUUUAAAUAACUUAGAAGAAAAUUUUGUCAAAUUUAAUUAUAUUAUAUAUUAUUUCAUUUUGCUAAAAGAUGAAUAAAUUUAUUUAUUUUUAUUAUCUUAAAAUGUUGUUCUAAAAUCACUCCCAAAUACAUUUUAAGAGCCUGUUUUAUAGUGAUUUUAUGAAGUGUUUUUAAUAUUUUUAAUACUUAAAAGGUAAAAAAUUUUAAGGGUUAGAAAUACUAUAAACACUUUCAAGAAUUACUACUAAACAUACUUUUGUUUUUAUGCUUUUUAAAUAACUUAGAAGAAAAUUUUGUCAAAUUUAAUUAUAUUAUAUAUUAUUUCAUUUUGCUAAAAGAUGAAUAAAUUUAUUUAUUUUUAUUAUCUUAAAAUGUUGAACUAUUUAUCAUUUAAAUUUUGGUAGGAAUAUAUAUAAUUGAGUUUUAAAAACUAUUACAAGUGCUAAGUUUAUCCAAUUUCGAUUUGAUCCAUACAACCCAGGUCUAAUUUGAUCAAUUCAAACCUAACUUGAGCUUAAAACAUGAAAUUUGAUUAGACUUAAUUUGAACACUUUGAGUUAGAGGUUGGAUUUGGACACGAGUGUUUCUUAAUUUAGGGUUAGGAUUAUAUAGAUUGAAAAUUUAACCAAACUCAACAAGUUGUAGCCAAAGAAAAUUCAUUCAAUUUAUCAUGCUUUAAGGUAUGCUUCAUAAGUGUGAAUAUACACGAAAAUAAGAUAAGAAUAAAGAUGAAUAACAAUUCUAUAUAAAAAAAAAUGAAUCAAAAUCUUAAUAAAUACAUAAUUUGAUUUUUAUAUUAAUAAUUUUUUAUUCUUAUUCUCAUUCUAAAAAACAAUCCAAACAUAAUAACGAACAAAAAUGAAAAUAAUUUCUCGUUUUUAUUUUUUAUUCCAACGUUCAUGUUUUGGAUUUCUCUCACACGACCCAUUAUUCAUCUUCAUUUCUAUUUCCAUUUCCAUUUUUAUUCGAUAAAAAAAAUAUAAAACAUAACCAGAAGUGGAAAAUUCUCUAAUACUAAGACAUUAUGCUUACUACAAACCCUAUCUUGAAUAAAAAACACACACACAAACAAGAUUUAGCAUUAAAUUCUUGAAGGUAGGCAUUUUUGUUAGCCAAAUAAUCAAUGAGUUGAAAAUACCAAUAAAGAGAACCCAAAAGCAAAACCCAUGAACCCCAUGUCCAUGAUUGAGUGAAGGAUUCACAUGUAAAACAAAACAAUAAGAAUAAGAAAAAGAAAAUAUUUAUUUAUUUAUUUUUUUUUUUUAAAGGCAAAGUAGGCUUGAGAGUAAAUAAGAGAGAAGUGAGAGAAGACACCCCACACUCUUUGGUGGAAAGGAAUGAUGAGGAAGGAGAGCUUUUACCAAUUCCAAUACUCUAAAGCCUCAAUGGUCUUGGUGUUUGCUCCUUUUCAAAAAGGCAAAUGGGAAAGAAUUUUGACAAGGCCCACAAAAGAUUACAAAACACUUCUUUUUUGGAAAUGUGUAUAUGAUUAGUAAAAUAUUGGCAUCAUCAUCAUUUUAAUCACUAAGUUUUUAGCUUUCAUGGGAUUGGAGACUCACAUGACAGCUUGUCCAUUGGUCUGCACUGAAACUUACCCAAUCAUCAUCCACAUCAUCCUCCCAUUUUUCUUUCCUCUUUUCCUUUUUUCUCUCCCCUUUUUUUAAUAUUUUAUUUUAUUUUUCCAUGCAAACAAUGUGGUUUUGAGUCUUAGGGUUCCAUCAAUUCUACUUGAUGGGUUAUGUGGUCCUUGUACAUGGCAUGUCCAAAUAUGGUGGAAGGAGAAAUUUUUUAUUUUUAUAUGACUUUUUUUUCCCCUAUAUUCAUGGAUUUCAUUGAACCCAAAAAUGAUAUAUGUAUAACAAGGUUUUUUUUUUUUUUUUUUUUUUUUUUUAAGUUUUUGAGUAUUAAUAUUUUUUUUAAAAUUUACUCUUAUUUUUUUUAGCUAGGGAAUUUUGUAAGAGGAAGAAACAAAGAUUGAAGUCCAAAAAUGGAUUAACAACAUAUUAAUUUUUUUAGUAUUUUAAUGUUAGUAUUAAAUUAAUAAAACUAUAAAAAUGCCAAAUGAGAAUAAACUGUGGUAUUUGUUUGUUUGUUUUUUUUUUUUACUUAAUAUUAAAUAAAUCUUAAAACUAAAUAUUAUUUAAUAAUAUUCAGUAUUAAGUUGUUUAUUUUUUUAAUAUUUUAUUUCUAUUAAGUACUAAAAAAUAAAAAUAAAAACACACUGAUUAGUUUUAAUAUUUAGAAAAAAUUAAAUAUUUUAGUUUUUUUUACUCAAUCAAAUAAUUUAAAAAAUUAAUAAUAAGUUAAUAAAAAGUAGAUAAUAAAUUAUUUUAAAAUUUGAAAGUAAAUUACUUUCAAUAAAAAAUUAAAAAAUUAUUUUUGUACGUUAUUGUAAACUUAUUUCAUUUAUUUUAAUUCUUAAAUAAUGUAAUUAUUUUUUAUAUUUUUAUAAUAAAAUCAAAUAUUAAAAAAAAUCAUUUUUCUUAACUAUUUAUUUUUUCUAAUACUUCUUGGAAACAAUAAGAAGACAAAUGUUAUCAACAUUAUUAUUUUGAAUUUCUUUUAUAAAUAAUUAAAAUAGAAAAAGAAUUGAAGAAAAAUCAAAAUUUUAUUCCUUAUUGGGAGUCAAAAAUUGUCCAAUAGUAGAUGUCACUACCCAUGAGUAAUAAUUGGGAGAGAACACAAAAGAAAGAAAGAGAGAGAGUGACUAGUGAGAGGUGGGGUGGGUGGGGCCCAGUAGACAUUGUCCGACGCGGCUACAGUGGGGCCGCAGUGGAGUCAGCUCCCGACCAAUCACUCACUGACAUCACACUCCUACCACCCUUUUAACGAUUUUGUCCUCUUGGCUGAUCACCACUGGAUUGACCAUGCACGCGCACGCUCGCUUUUCCACAUGCCCUAAUUUCACCUCCCUUAUUCCGGACAUUUUCUGCUACACUCCUCGGUUUUCUGAGGGCGUUUUGGACAUUUCCUCCGUCUGUUUGCCGGGCUUUUGUUCCUCGUGAAAAUGACGUGUUUAGACUUUGGAGUCUCCACCGUGACGCGCUCUCUUCUCUCUUGCCUAAGAAAUGGAAAAUAAUUAAUAUAAUUAAAUUUAUUGAAUAUUGAAAAUAGAAACUAUUGUUAUUAAUUACAAAUUAAUAUUUGUCACUUUUUAUUCACUUUAUUUUUAAAAAAAUUUAAUUGAUUACUAAACAUUAUUGGUAAAUAGGAGUAUAUGUGAUUUGGGUUUGCUUCUUUCUUUGAAUUAAUGAAUAUUUAUAUUGUAAUGAUCUGGUUUAACAUAUUUUAUAUAUAUAUAUAUAUUUUAUCUAGAUUGGAUCUUAUUACUAUAAAAUUUUAUUAAAUAAAGAUUGAAAUAAUUAUGACAUAUUGGGUAGGAAAAGAAAUUUCCAAAGUUAUAUACUCGAUGAACUUUUCAGAUAAAUACAUCUUAAAAUUGUGAGUUUCCAUUAAGCUCAAAAUUAGUAAUAUCCACAUUCCAAGAAUCAGGUUGAUGUAAAAUGGUAUCAAAAUCAAUUUGAAACCCGAUAAAUAGAAUGUCAAUUUUGACACAACAACAUGACUUAAAAUGAUACCAAUUUUAAUGAUUCAAAUUAAUUAUAACCAUAUUUAUGUUAUAAUCGUGUCAAUUCAUGUAACCCAUUUAAUAAACAGGUCAUCUUUGCAUUUGAUUACUCAAUCAAUUUAUGAUACGUUUUAAUCCAUACAAAUCUAUUGAAUUUUUAUUACAUUGAUUUUUUUUAAUAUAACAUAAUUAUUUAAUUAUAAAUACCAAGUAAAGUUUUAUAUAUUUAUUAAAAAUAUUUUAUAAUUAAAAUAUUAAAUAUAGAUAUAAUUUUAAUUUUAAUUUACUUUCUAUAUUCUAAUAAUAAUAUUAUUAAAAUUAAAUAAUUAAAUUAAUUAAGAUUAAAACAUUAAAACUUAAAAUUUAAAACAACUAAAAAGUAUUUUAAAAUAAUAAAUUUAUAAAUUUUAGAUAGAUUCAAGGAUUGCGAUCAUAUUAAUGGAUUAAAAUCAUGCUAAUAUGCUAAUAUGUUAUUAAUGUCCAACUUAAUCUAUUUAUUAAAUGAGUCAUCUCAUAUCCUUUACGUAAUAAAUGAGUCUCACUUAUGUUGGGUCAUUCUUAUACAAUUAUUAAAUGAGUCGUAAUUAAGUUGAGUUAACCUCAACACAACCAACCCAUUAACGAUAUCUAUAGAAGACGGAGUCCUAAUUUCAUGUAAUUAAUUAUAAUUAAUUUUCCUUUCAAAUGGGUAUGAAUGAUAGUGAGCAUUGAGGCAACAAAGUAAGGUUAUUAUACAACUUCUAGUCAUGGAUGUAAUUAAAUCAUGUGAUAUUUUGUGAUGAAACUUGAUGGAAAAGCAAGUAUAAAGUCAUUGUAGGUUAUUAUUCAACACUAUGUAUGUACGUCAAUAUUUAUGUGAUAUCAUGACAAUAAUGAAAAACUUGUCAAUACAAUCCCCUAAAGUCCAUACCAUAUGAUUUUCCUCUAAUUCAAAGCAAUACAAUAAUUAUUGUAAUGAAGAAACAUUUACAAUACCAACUAUUAUCCUUUCAUUAUGCUAUGUAACCAUUAAUUUAGUGUCAUCCACAUACUAUAUAAAAUUCCCAUUUAAAUUGUAAAUUAUACUCCUUUCCCUUUCCAUUAGUAUUAAAAAUUAUUUAUUAAAACAAUUUGAUCAAAUUUUAGGAAAAUAAUUUAAAUUUAAAUUUAAUAUAUAUUUUUGUUAAUAAAAAUAUAAUAUAGAAAUAUUUUAUCCAUUUAUGAUAAAUAAAUAUGUGAUAUGAAUCGAUAGACAGACACUUUGAUAGAGUAAAACUCGAGAUUAAUUGUGUAUUUAAUUUAUUUAGAAUAUAAUAGAUUUCAUUUUAAAGCUUUUAUUAACAAAAUAGGGUUGGUGGAAAUAAGUCAAAUCUAAAAAGAGUGAUAAAUUUAACUUUUUCUAUAGUAUAUAUUAAAGAAAAAGAAAAAGAGAUACCCCCAACAUUUUGCUAUAAAUUAUAAUAAAAUAUUCAAUUUGUCCCAUUUGCCAAAUUUGACUGCUUUUUGUAAUGCUUUCAAAGCUACUAAGAGUAGUAAAUGGCCCUUUUUAUUUUUAUUUUUAUUAUUUUAUUUAUUUUUUUAAGUGGGAAUAGCCACAUCAUUCCUCAAUUCCUACUACUCUCUUGUCCCAAUGCCACAUAAGACCUACGGUGGUCAAAAGGAAUGGAAUUCAUCCACAAUGGUGGGUGGGCCAUGUUGGCCAAUGUGGUGGGUGGUGGACCCAACCCCUUUACUUUAUUUUUUUGUCUUAGUAGUUAGCAUCAUGGUGCACCCACCUAGCCAUUAUUUUAUUUUUACCCACAAACCAUCUUUUGAUGCAGUUAUUUCUGUUAAUUAAUUAAGAUCCAAAUCUUCAUUACUCAUAAUCUAGUAUUAGGGUUUAAGCAUUCUUGGUCGCCUACAAAGUGUGUAUGAUUUAAUAUUAAUAAUUAAAUCCUUUGAUUUAUUCAAAUAAUUAUACUUUUUAAGUUUUGAAAUCCACCUAUAAAUUCUUGACGGUCCAUAAAUUCAAAUCGAUUGAUUUGUUAAUAAAUUUAAGUGAAUCAUAUAUUUUUUAAAAUAUUUCAUAUAUUGAGAUUGAAUUUCUUCGCUUUUACUUGCCAUUGUAAAAUAUUUAUUGCAAUUUGUGUAUAAAAAUUAUUAUUAUCAUUUCCAUCUAAAAUCGGGGUUACCUUGAAUUUAUGACCAUUACAAACCUAAUUUUAAGAGGUGAUAUGAAUCUUAUUGGAAUUAUGGUACUUGGAGAUUUAAUGGGGGGAAAUAGGAAUUAAAUAUAACAAACUAUUUGAAAAGAAGAAUACAAUAAAGAUGGUGAAGAACGAAACACAGAAAGCUUCACAAUUUUAGAAGAAUCUUUAGUUUUAUUUUUCUCUGAAAUGAGUUGAAGGUAAUAAUCAAAUAAGUUUAGAUGAUGCUUACUUCAAUUGAGGAUUAGUAGACAUUGAAAUGUUUAAUUAGCUUAUAUAGCCUAUUCAACCCCAUGAUUGAGAGGGCCAAGUGAAUUGGAGCUCUAUAAGAUAGCAACUCCGGGAUUGAAGAAAUAAAUAAGAAAAACAACAUAUUAGUGUUAUACAAGAUACCAUACUUGAUAGACUUGAGUGAGUCCAAGUUACAUUCAACGGGAUUUUCGAAGCUAAAGAGGGACAUUAAAUGAAAUGCCCUUAUAACAAUGUUCACCACUUAUAUUGAAACACCAUACAUCUCGUGUUGAAGAAGAAUAUUAAGCAAAAUGACCUUGUAAUGGAGCAAACAACCCUAAAAUAAACUCAAGUGUAUCCAAUAUUGAACCCAAACUCUUCUAGGUAACAACUCAAAAGCUAAAGUAACAGAGUAUGUUCAAUGACCGGCAUGGUUUAUGAAACCCGAUUAUUAACAUGACUAAGGAAAAACAUAAGCUAAUACCCUUUCAAAUGAUGGAAUAUUUGAUCAUUUUUAGCUUGCUCAUCAAACAAGGGUCUUACUAAGUCCCUUUGGGAUGAUGUCAAAGAUUUGAUCCUUACUGAAGGUGCAAGGAGUCCUUAUAAUGCCUACCAUCUUAUUAUAGACUAAUGCAAUCGUAACAUUGUUCUUUUUCUUUUUGGCUUCUUCUUGGACUCCUUUCUUUUUCUACUCAUUGUACACUACCCUUCAUCAAUUCCUUUGUGAAAGAGAUCACUCUUCCCUUUUUAUAUAUCGACUUUGACGUUAAAAGAGUGAAUUUCUCUUCAUUUGAUAAUACCUUAGAAGCUCAAGUCAUAAAUUAAGUGAAAUAAUCUAGUUAUCGUGCUAAAAAUCAUAUAAAUUAUAGGCCUAAUUGGAUCCAACUUCUAAUUACAGAAUGACACACAAACCUUAGUUAAAAUUUUAAAAAUUCUAUUUUCUUGCUUUUACUACCUUAAAAUUUCAAUAAUGAAAAAAUAGAUAAUUUGGAGAUACUUGUUCAUUAACUAACCUAUGGUGUUUGAAGAUUAACAUCAUGUGGGUCUAUAUCUCAUUUACAAACUUGAAAGAAAAUUUUUAUCAAUUCAUUUGAUGAAAUAUAAGAAGAUUACGGAAGAUUGAGUCUCUCAAAUGUGAUAUGACUAAUCAAAGGUUUUGAAAGUAUGUCCUUAGCAUCAAUAAAAACUCAUCCAAAAUUUAACACAUAAUUAUAAGUUGCGAUUCAUUUCAAAAGGAGUCUCUUGUCCUCAUCGUUUAGUUGCUUCACUCAAGGGUUAGAAGUUAACUUUAGUUAACAUAUGAUAUAAAAUGAUUUUACUCAAAAUCUUGAGCUUUUCAUUUUCAAACCCUAAUAUUUCUUAUGAAACCUCUAAUCCUAGCUUGGUCACUAGAGUAAUCACUUUCACUAUUGACAUAUUCUCGUAGGUUGAAAGAAGAACAUCAUUGACCGAGUUUGAAUUUGAUUAUUAUUUAUUUCAAUAAACAUCAGGGUACAUGUGAUUCGUCGGUGGAAGACCAUUUGCAUCUGAUUCUUGUUGCUUAAUUGAUAUUAAUGUUAAAAAAAAUACUAUUUUGACAAAUAUUACAAUACACGUGAUUUGCAUACAGAAUGAACAUUUAAACACGUUUAAACCUCAUAUAUAUUUAUAUUAUUGUCUUAUAAAUUUAUCAUGAAAAUAAAUAAAUAAAAUUAUGAAUAAUAAUAAACAUAAAUGGAACAUUUAUUUGGAUAUGUUACGUAAUAUUUUUUUUUUAAAUAAUAAUAAUUUUAUAUAAAAUAUUAAAUCAAUUAAAAAUACAAUUAAAUUAUUAAUAAACAUAAAUUCAAAAUAAUUAAAUUAUUCGUACAGCCCCACUAGCCGGACGAAUCCAACGCAGAUCCAGUAGAUGAUUAUACUAUGUGGGAAAUUAAAAAUUACGAAAAGAGCGUGGGGAGCACGCCGGAAGAGGGGAGCGUGGUGAUUCUAGUCCUCAUUCUUACACAAUCGCAGGGAGGGAGGGGUGUUUUUUCUCAUGGCCUUUAAAAAGACGUGUAGCACAAAGAAGGAACAGAGGUGGGACCCACAACGGUGGAAAUGGCAGUGGGCCCACUCCACUCUCCCACAGUGAAAGCGCCCCACUUUUCCUGACUUCACCACCCCACCCCUCCCUCUUCCCUCCUCCUCCUCCACCACCACCACCACCACCGCCGCUCUGCCACCACCUCCGCCACCACCACCUUUCUCUCUCUUCCUCCUCUCGCUGUACACAUGGCUCAGCGCAGCUAAAGUUGGACCAGACCAAAAAGAAAAAGCAAAAGCCACAAUUGUUUACGAGCCACUACCAGCACACUAGUACCAAUUUGGCUUCCAAAUUCCGCCGAGAGUGUAACGACACUCCACUCUUCAAGAAAACAAAAUCCCUAGAUCGCCUUCAGUGAACCAAGGUUCGUCUGUACGAACACCUCUUCCCCACCACUGGUUUGUUCAUUGUCGUCCUCUCUUUCUUUUUCUUCUGUUUUUGGUGUUCUGAAUUGAGGGUUUGGGAAUUCAAGGGUUCAGUUUCAGAAUGGGUCGUAAUGGGAAUGGAACAAUGUAAUGGAAUUUAUCUUUUUUUAUUUUUAUUUUUAAAAUUUUGCUUUUUGGAUGCUCUUUUUUUUGGGGGGUUUUAGGGUUUUUUUUUUUUCUUUUUUCCCGGGACCGGUUUUGUGGUGGUGGAGUUGAUUGUGAGUGAAGUUAAGGAUUUUGAGAUUUCUUUGACUGGGUUGCUUUCUUUGUUUGAUCUCUGCCAAAGGAGUUUGUGACUCGGGGAAUUUUAGAGUUAUGGAUGUUCAUGCACUACGCAUGGGUGAGUGAUGAUUGGGGGUUACCGUUUGUUCUCUCUGUUCUUACGAUUGGGUGAAGAUGAAAAUACCAGUUUAAUUCCACAUUUCUGUUUUUAUUGCUGUUUGCUGUAAAUUACUUACUCUCUUUGGCCUACCCAGUUCUCCGUUUGCCCCCCUGGAAAACUAGGGGGACAAAAGAUUUUUUUAAGAGUCUUAUUUUUAUGUUAUUUUGGUGUCUGAGAAAAAUGAUUAGUUCGUGGGCUUAGUUGAGUGGAGAUUUUUGCUUCUAAGUCCUGGGAAAAAAUUUUAAGCUUCAGUAUUUUGAUUUCCUUCUUUCUUACUUCAUUUGCUCUGCAGCCUGAUGGGGUUUAAUGUUGCUUUCUGUUUCAUCUUCUUUUUCAUUUUGUUCAAUUAACCAACCUGCUCUGUACCGGAAUUUUGAAGUUUUUAUUGUAGUGGUUGUAAUUAAGAACAGGUGAAGAAAAGAAUAAAUAUACAGAGUAUUUGAUUCUUUGUUACCAUGUUGUUGGCUUUUGUGUUUUUUAUUUUUCCAUUUUUUAUGGUUGAUCUGUUGCAUUUCACUGAUCAGUAAAAAAAAAAUUGGAAGAUCAAAUCUCUCACAAUGCAACUUGAGUGAGUUAGAAUAGGAAGUUUAAUAUGAUAGCUUUUAUGUCAGUUGAUCAAGAACAAAGGGUAUCUUGAAAGAGAAUAUAGUGGGGGAAGAUAAAUACAAACUGUUCACAGAUAUACUUAUUAGGAUCCGACAAAAAGUGGAUACCCAUUGAACUAAAUCUUGUUUCCAUUUGCAGAUUCGAUUCAGCACAAGUGUUCCAUGUAAUGAUACACAGUAAUCAGACAUGGAAAGAAUUCCAGAGUCAAAGAAAACGCUUCCUGGGCAAUUGCCAAUUGUGGGUCUGGUAGCAAAACAACACAUGGCUUUGCUAAGGCAAGAAGUCGGUCGGCCUGAUGCACGGGAUUCUCAAGAUUCAGACUCUUCUCCUGCACCAAUAAGGACGUGGAAAGGAAAGGAUUCUUUACUUGAGCAAGAGGAGUCGAUGCCUGAUGUUGUUAAGGGCAGUAGUGAUUCAUUUGAGGAAGGUGGCCCUAGCUCUUUCUCUGGGGCUAGUCAUCCCCCAGAACCCGUAGAUACAGAUCCGAUGAGAACAGUGUAUGUACCAAUUGGUCAGAAGAAGUCUGAGGGUGGUUGCUUGAUGAAAAGCUUAUCUAUGAAGGGUCCUUUUUUAGAGGAUCUAUCAAUCCGUGUUUCAGGUAUAAAACCAAGCCCAUCUGUUCUUUCACCUGCAGAAAGCUUGGUUGAAGAACCUAAUGAUUUGGGUGCUUUGUCUUCUCCAUUUUCGAUUCCUCGUGCAUCACAAAAUACUGAAAACUCUCUCCUUCCUCCUGAUUCUGAAGAAAAGGAAUGUGUUUGGGAUGCUUCUUUGCCUCCAAGUGGCAAUGUAAGUCCACACAGUAGCAUUGAUAGCACUGGUGUUGUCACAGCCAUGAGCAUUGUCAAUAGCUGUGCCAGUACAUACAGGAGUGAUGCAAUGACAAGUGAUGGCAUGCUUAGUGUGGAGAGGAACUGUGAGAGUACAAAGGGAAGUGUAAGAGGGGAUUCACUUGAGAGUGCAAAAACUAGCAUUAGCCGUGCAAGCGAUAGCAGUGGCCUUAGUGAUGAUAGUAAUUGGAGUAACAUUACUGGUAGUGCUAAUAAGCCACACAAAGGAAAUGAUCCUAGAUGGAAGGCCAUUCUUGCCAUCCGUGCACGAGAUGGCAUUUUGGGUAUGAGUCAUUUUAGGUUGCUCAGACGGCUUGGGUGUGGUGAUAUUGGCAGUGUGUAUCUCUCGGAGUUGAGUGGUACACGCUGUUACUUUGCAAUGAAAGUAAUGGAUAAGGCAUCUCUUGCAAGCCGAAAAAAAUUGACCAGAGCUCAGACAGAAAGAGAGAUUCUGCAGCUACUAGACCAUCCAUUCCUACCAACUCUUUACACUCAUUUUGAGACAGACAGAUUCUCAUGUUUGGUCAUGGAAUUUUGUCCGGGAGGUGAUCUUCACACUCUAAGGCAACGACAACCUGGGAAACAUUUCUCUGAGUAUGCUGCCCGGUAUGCCUUCUGAUCUAAUUACGUUUUCUUCUGUAAAUUAUCUAGUAACAUUUCCUUUGUUUCAUUAGCAUUUAUUUGUUCUUUAUGUUUUCAUCAAUGACUUUCUUCCUUUCCUAAAUUACAUUUAAUCCUUUUAUGAUUCAUUGUUAUUACUCCUUUUGUUUAUUUGGGAAAAGUUUCAUUUUGUGAAUCACCCUCUGCAGUCUGUGCUCUUUUGAGAAAUUCACAUAUGAUGAUUUUGGUGGUGGGUGUGCACCUUUUUUUUCCAAUUAAAUUCUGUCUUCUUGUUCUCCAUCUUUUCAUGCACCUUUUGCUUGCUUGUAAUUUCGUGUGAUUUUUAAACAUGUGUUUGUUCGAGAUUUUAUUCCAUUCGUACAGUGCAUAAAGUUUAUGAAUCAUUCAAUGAAGUUAAAACGAUACUGGAUUUGAUCGUAUCUUUAUGCUAUCAAGUUUUUGAAAUCAUUAGGAACUUUACUAUUGGCUGGUUAAAAUUCUUUUUAGCAUAACCAGUUUCUAUACUGUACAUACUCAUCUUUGUUGCCUUCUGGCCAUUUUUCCAAAUCCACUGGAAGGUCAUUAAAAAGAAAUCUUUGCAUUAUCUGGGAUUGUCUUUUUUGUAAUUAUUACCUUUAUUUGUUUUUUCCUUACAGUUUUCCAACAUGGGAAUGAAUGAAAAAAAGGGCCACAUGUUGGAGAUUUCUUAUUUUCAUCCAGGCGCCUAGUCCUGAACUUUAAGCAAUAUAUGCAUGUGUGCCAAUACCAGACCGACCAAAUGGCGGCUUGGUAUUUUCAAUAGACUCUGACUCUGCUGCACCAUUAUUUUAUUCUGGUAGCACAUAAUGUAUGCUCUACUGUCGUUGUGCAGAAAGAUUGUACUGUUAAAGUAAUAUCCAUCCAUAUGUCUAUAUAGAUAAAACUGAAAAGUCUAAUUCAAACUAGCCGCAGAACAUGUUGUCAAAUAAUGAGGCUUGGAAAGUAGGCUUAUGCUUGAAUCCAAGUCUCUGAUUGGUGCAAAUGGCUCGUCGUGUUAAUCAACAUCAUGAACAUAUGGUCAAAUAAUGAGGCUUGGAAAGUUAGCUUAUGGGUGAAUCACAUGCCUCCUAUUGGUGUGAAUGACUUAUCCUGUCCUUUUAAUCAAUACCAUUUCUUGAACUUAUUUGUCAUCUGUUCACAUGUAAAGCAAUCUGGAAUUUUGACCGGUAGCUUCCAUUUGAUCAAGAAGUCGACAUGUUAGAAGUUCUACCAUUUAAGCAAAUAUUGCUUCCUCCAUAAUUGUAAUAAAUACUGCUUAGUUUGUGCUCAUGUUAAAGACUGCUUCCUUCAUAGCUCUUGGUGCCCAAAUGUGUGCAAUGGGAUGCCUGUGUGCUUGUGAGGUGGGUUAGGGUCACUUCUCGAACCAUGAUUUGGGCAUUUUGAAUGAGAAAUUGCACUAUUUUGUGAAGUUUGAUUAUCAAACAUGACCAUCUUGCUUUUCUAUCAAAAAGAGAAGAGUUCUUGUCGUGGUAGAAUUCCUCUCUUUUCUGUCCAAAAUAUAAUUAGUCACCACAAAUAUGUCCUUCUAUUUUGAAAAAGUAAUAAUAAUUCUAGCUACUAUAUGUAACUGGGGUUGCAGUCAUAAAUAAUGGAAAAAUCUGCGGUAAAUUAAUUAUUAAUUAUCAAUUAUCCUUUACUUGCAUAGAUACCUAUUUGUGCUUUGAAGGCACAUGCACUCUCUCUUUGUGCUUCAGUAAUUUAUUUUCUUCUUUGGUCUUCUUAAUGCUGUUUGCUGUAACUGUUUAAUUAUCAUUACUGUUUUACCUCCUCAUAUUAUGCUUAUUAAACAAAUUUAUCUCCUUAUGCUGUAUGAUAUUGCUGUUUCUUUCCAAUUAUGCAUAUGAGAGGAAAUAUGGGAUUCAAUAGUGACUCAGAUUUGCCAAUAUAGUCACUGUUUCUUGCUAAUUAAGAUAUAUGAAUUGCCCUUUGAGAACAUCGUUAUAUGGAGCUUGUCUCAUUAGAAGGUCUUAAUUUUUUUUUGUCCCAACAAUUUAUUUUUGUUAUUAAUGCUAUAUUUCAUUAGAAGACCCAUCUAAAGAGUGUGUAUAUUGAGGUAGGAAUAGAAUGUACAAAUUAGAAGACCCAUCUAAAGAGUGUAUGUUGAGGUAGGAAUAGAAUGUACAAUUGCUCAUUAAAGAAAAUUAUAUUGAAAAAUAGCAAAUUGCUCCAAUCUAGAGGGCCAGUGGGUAGGUUGUAUGGUUGUAUGGGUCAUGUGAUGCUAAUUUGUUUGCAUCCAACCAUGGCCUAGCCAUUUACUUAUAGGAUAGGUGGGUUUUGCAUUGGCCAUUGAGUUGGAUUUGUUUUGGUUGUUUAGAUUGAUUACAGAUCGGCUUAGAUAUUUAAUGAAGUGGGUUGAUUUACUUAGGUCUGGGUUUACUUGAGCAUGUUUUAAGGACCCUAUUACACCUAAGCAAAACCAAUGCACAAUGAAUGGUUUUAUUGGAUUUGUGUUCUGAUGGGUUUGGAUGGAAGGAUGGGAUGAGAAUUGCUGCCCCUCUAUUGUGUGGAAACUUCAGAAAGCAAUAAUAGAAGAAUUCUGACAUGUGUUUAAGUGCAUCUACUUCAAACUAUUUGCUGGCUUAAGUAACUUGGCUUGAGUGGCAAUGAGAAUGUCUUAGCCGAAGUUGGAAUUUCAAUUUGUAAAAGACUUUCACUCCACAAUGUUACCAGUGGAAUUUGCCUUAAAAACAAAAUUUUAAUAGAGUUCAUUUUAACAACAGGAGCAUUGUCGUCCUUGAACCAAUUCCACAAGUAUGAAACCUUUUAGUUACUAAAUUAGCUUUGCAAUGCUCAAUGGUAACUUUUUACCUGUUUUUAACCUAGAAGUUCCAAUUUCACCCAUUGACUCUUUUCUUUUACAUUAAUCAACCAACUCCACCAGAGAUUCUGGUCUUCUCUCGACAUUUACUAUGAAGAACCAUAAGGAAAGUCACAGAUGACAAAUAUAGCAAUAUCCAGGAGUAAAAGAAACUUUAUCUUUGGAAAAUGAAAGAGAAAAAAUUGGGAAAAUCCCCAGUGGGCCUCACUAGUGAGCCCACUGUAGUUGUCACAUGAUGCUGCUGAAGUCAAUUUGGCCUCUGUGGAAUUGGGAAAAUCUGAAUUUUCCUUAUUCAAGAGUAUUUUGGUAAAUUGGCAUGUUCAGAAUGUGGCUUUAAUAUGGUAUGGUUUAAUAAUGGAGCUAGUUAUGGUUGAAAUGCCAUGAAAAAAACUGUUAUCUUUGUUUUGGCAUCUCUUUUGUCUGUUUGUUUUAAUAGAAACUUGUAAUCUUGGUCAAGUAUGAAUCCCUACUUAUUAUAUGGUUUUGGUAGAUUACUGAAGUAUUUGCAGGAGUUAAGCAAGAACUGGGCUACCAUUAAAUACUCCAAAAGUGGCCACUUAUAACUGAGGCUGCUUUCCCUUGUUUUGAGGAUUCUGCCGUUUUUUUUGCAACAAUAUUCAACUCUUUUGUCUGAUCAAAAAAAAAUAUUCGACUCUUUUCAUGCUGAAAAACAUGAUUUGGUAAUGAUAGCUCCCUAGAACCAUUCCUUGUAUUUGUUUUCCUUAUUAUGAAACAGAGCCUGAGGUGAAUUUCUAAAGUUGACUAAUGUUUGUCUUUGUCUUCAAGUACCUAUUUUGAGACCAUGCCAUCUUGAGUUAAAUAUCAAAAGCAGUCACAUGGGAAGCACUUCCUGUUUUCACUCCCAAAUCCUUAAACUUCUGCUUUGGAUGUUUGAUCAUAUUCUGUUGUAGCACCAUUUUUUUUUUAAAAGAAGGAUACCAUUUUGUACAAUGCAGUGUUAUCUCAUAUUUGCUAAUAAUAUAGCAGUAUGCAGUAGGAUGUAAUUGGAUUGAAUUGGGUCUUAAAUCUUGCUAUUUAAUGCCUAAUCAUGGUUGAGGAGAUACACUAUUUUCUUUGCUCAAAGAAGAAGGAAUCUCUAAUCUAUCAGGGUGAUGAUACAAUGAGAUCUGCAGGGAUUAUAUAGCUUUUGUUUCCUAUACAUUCUGUUCCUCCUUUGUGUGGUUGAUGCUAUGUUAACUCUAGGAAAAUUUUCUUUUGUAAUGGUCUCUUGAUGCAUAGUCAAAUUGUUAUUGAUAAUGGCAAAAAGAAAAAAGGAAAUGUGGAAAGACAAUAAAUAUUUUUCUGUGUAUGAAUAUCUUAAGGUGGUUUUAAUAGUUUAUGAUUUUACAAUUUUGAACUCAGAAAUAAUAACUGUUGUGAAAGGGGAAUAAAAUUUUUUUUGAUAGAGAAAUGGUAGUAAAAUUCAUAAAUGAGGUAGAAAAGGACGGCAUUUUAUCCCUCCAGUCAAAUGAACAAAGCAAUACCUGUGAUGCCUAUCAUUAUCAUGACAUGUUAAAAAUUUCCCCUAGAAACGUUUUUCUUUUCUCAAAGAGAAAAGAUCUACAUGAUGGAGAACCUCAGCCAGAUCUAAGCACCUGCAAUGCCUUCUUCCUUUAUGUUUCUCUGCUGUGACUCAUCAUCCUUAGUCCCACUUUUUAAAACCUUAGUCAUACUGUUUUCAACUUUUUCAUUUCGUUGUUUUUCAAGCAAAGCAGUAAUGAUCAAUGUUUAUACUAUUGCCUGCAGGUUUUAUGCUGCAGAGGUUCUAUUAGCACUUGAGUAUCUCCACAUGCUUGGAGUUGUCUACCGGGAUUUGAAACCAGAAAAUGUUUUAGUCCGUGAUGAUGGCCACAUAAUGCUCUCAGAUUUUGACCUUUCCCUAAGAUGUGCAGUUUCACCCACCCUUAUUAAAACCUCCUCAUUUGAUUCUGACCCCUCCAAACGGGGAACUGGUGGUGCAUUCUGUGUCCAGCCUGCCUGUAUUGAACCCUCAUCAGUAUGCAUCCAGCCAGCAUGUUUUAUUCCCCGGAUCUUUCCCCAGAAGAAUAGUAAGAAAAAAACUAGAAGACCACGAGCUGAGCCUGGGCUGCCUGCCAGUACAUUGCCUGAGCUUGUGGCAGAGCCUACUGCAGCUCGGUCCAUGUCCUUUGUUGGGACCCAUGAAUACCUUGCUCCUGAAAUCAUCAAGGGAGAAGGGCAUGGCAGUGCAGUUGAUUGGUGGACAUUUGGUAUCUUCUUGCAUGAACUACUGUAUGGUAAAACCCCUUUCAAGGGUUCAGGAAACCGGGCUACCCUUUUCAAUGUGGUGGGGCAACAGCUCAGAUUUCCUGAUGCACCAGCGACUAGUUAUGCAAGUCGGGAUCUAAUCCGGGGAUUACUGGUGAAGGAGCCACAGCACAGACUGGGUGUGAAGAGGGGAGCAACUGAGAUAAAGCAGCACCCCUUCUUUGAAGGCGUGAAUUGGGCUCUGAUACGAUGCAGCACGCCGCCAGAGAUUCCAAGACCAGUGGAAACAGAGCUACCAGGAAAGUUUGGGACAGUUGACACUGUUGGGGUCGGGAUCGGCAGCAGUAGUAAGAGGAUGGUAGGGGCAGACAUGAAGUCUGGGGGUAAAUAUCUCGACUUUGAGUUCUUCUAGUCUUUUGAUUUACAGGAUUGUGCUGUGUUGGAAUUAGUAUCAUCAGUUAAUCCUACAAAGAAAUUCAACUUCAAUUUGAAAAUUUAUACCUUCAAAUUCUAGGGCUCUUCUUCUGGAUUUCACAUUGGGUCUGACAUAAAAAAGGGAAAAAAAAGGGAAUUUAACCUGAGACCCAAUGUCAUAUGUAGAGAACUCAUUAUCAUUUCAUGACUAGAGUUAAUAUUGUCAACUGAAUUUACAGAGUUUUUGUGCCUCAAUCCAUUGUCAUCUGAUGUUGCAAGUUGUGAGUUUUUUAUUGUUAAAAAUUUCAAGGAAAUGUAGAGACAAUGCAAGUCUGAAAAUAUGAUCUCAACUUGCAUUCAACACAUUGUAGGACAUGGCCCCUCAUUCUCACUCACUAUUUUUCUUGAGAAUCAUCUUUGGUAAUGGCAUUCCCACAUUAUUGCAAAGAUGAAUGAAUGAAGAGGGAAUUUUUCCAAGGAAUAGUGGAUAUGACAAGUGAAUAUUUGCCUUGUACUAGUGCUCAUUCUCAAGGUUGAGGUGAAUUGAAGUGUGUAGUCCCUUGUAUGCCUUAAUUCUUCCAUCUCUAUCACCACUAUCACAUAAAACCAUGAGAUUCUUUUCAGGAAGUUGCAUCCAUGUGCAAAAGUAAUACAUUUGCAACUUACAAUUUUAUGUCAUCAUGUUAAUAGUUUGAUGAGUUUGAAUGGUGUUAUUUAUGUCGAUUCAUACACAAUCUAACUUAAUCCAUUUAUUAAACGGGUUGUGUCAUGUUUAUGUGAUAAACGGGUCGUGUUUGUAACUAAUUACGAUUAUUAAAAGAUUAUUAAAUGGGUCAUAUUAAAUUUUCAAUAUUUCUUAUUUUAAGACUAUCACUCAAAGCACCAAUUUAAUGCUCUCACUUGUAUUUGCAUAUGUUCAAAAUUGACUCUUAUAGGGAGAAACCAAACAUAAGUCUUCUAAAUUUUAAGAUGAAAAUAUGCAAUAAUAAUGAACUAUUAGUAUGUUAUUGGACUAGUGUUAAUCAAUUUUUUUCUUCUAAUUUUUGUUAUUAUACUAGGUUAGGCUUGAGCCAAGAUUUAAGCAACUUGAAUUGAAACUUAAUUUAAUAUUUUUAGAAUAUUUAUUAUUAAUAUUAUUCUAUAUAAUAAUAGUUAUUUAUUUGUUUUAUAGAUUUUUUUAUUAUAAAAAAAGCAAAUUAUAAUUAUGUUAUAUGCAAGAAUGAAAAUAUCGGUAAUCAUAGAUAUAUCGGUACUUGGAUUUUAUGGAUAUAUCGAAGAUAUAUCGGUAAAUAUUUUGACACAAAAUAUCGAUAGGCAAAAAAUUCAUCAAAACUUAUGAAAAUGUAAGAAAAAACUCUUAAAAAUGAAAUUAGAAGUAUAAUAGACAUUUUCAAAUUAUUUUGUUGAAAAAAUUAAUAUAUGUAUAAUAUGAUUUGCGAUAUUAAAUUUAAUUAUAUAGUGUUGGUUGAUAAGAAAUGUGAAUUUUGUAAGUGUAGAUUCAUUAUGAAGUUAAAUUAUUAUAAAUAUACUAAUUAUAUGAUUUAAUUAUAUUAUUAUAUUAAGUUAAUUUACUUAUCUCUAUAGAAAAUAUAUUAAUUAAUUGUAAAAAUGUACUGAUUUAAAUUCAAUGUUAUAUUAAUUUAAAAAUGUACUAAGUUAAUUUAUUCUCAAUAUACUAUUAUUACACUUGAAUAUCAAAAUAAAAUUAUUAAUUUAAAACUAAAUUAUUGCAAAUUUACUAAUUAUGUUAUUUAAAUAUAUUUAUGAUUUUUAUUUUAAAAUGUUGGUAAUUUUGAUACAAAAUAUUUUUAUUUAAAAAUAUUAAUAAUUUUAUUUAUGAUUUUAUAUUUGUUUUAUAUUUAAUUAGCAUACAAAAUAAGUUAAAAGAUAAUUUAAAUUAACUUAUUUAUAAUAAUUUAAUUUUUUACCGAUUUUUCAUCAAUAUAUCCAAUAUAUUUUCGAAAUUUCAAUGAUUUUUUCUCAUUUAGGGUCGAUAUUUUGCUUGUAUCAUCGAUAUAUCCGUGAUUACCGAUAUAUCAUCGAUAAUUACCGAUAUUUCCGUCAGACGAUAUAUCUUAUCUAUAUAUCGUAUCCAUCUUCUCCGGUACACGACAUAUCGUCGAUAUAUCCCGAUAUUUUCUUCUUUGGUUAUAUGUCGUUUUAUUUUGUGAAAAGAUAUAUAAAAUUAUUUUUACUCUUUUGUUAUUAUCAAGAUAUGUUGUCUCAAUCACUAAAUUUAGACAUAAAUGUAGAGAUUGGUUGAAUAUAAACUAGCCUUGACCAACUCGAUAUUGAGUCAAACAAGUCAUUCAGUCCAACUAACUUGAAUCUAAAAAGAAAUUUGAUUGAACUAUACUUAAGUUAAAAUUUUCUUAAUUUGGAUUGGACUAUCGAACUUUAACUCUUCAUGUGAAUAUAGAAACACGAAAACCAAAGCACCAACAAAACAUGUCUCCUUCCUUCAUUUGAGUGUCCAUACAUCCUUGAUGACAAAGGCAAAGAAUCUCACUCAAUAAAGAGAGUACCACCAUGAAUAAUAUGGACCCCAUGCCAACCAUAUUUCAAAGUGCCCUAAUCUUUCCAACAUGAGUCAACCUAUUACACAUAUAAUGUUCAAUCUUUCUCAUGCAAGACAUUGUGUCUUUUACUAAAGCCCAUUUUUUGCAGUGAUGUCCUAAUGCUUUUGAUUCUUUUUGUUUUCCCCUUUUACUUUUCUGCUUAUAUACCACAAAUAGUAGCCUAGCAAAUUCAAAGCAAAGUGCUAUUGUAACUCACAUUAUCCUUCAUUCAUUUAUUUUUAUAUGCUUGUUUAAGUAAUAGCAUUGAAAUUCUUUACAAUUAUGCCAAGGAAUUGAUUUGGUACUUACUGAAUUUGAAAUACCAUUAAAAGUAUAUGAUAAAAUUUAAAUCGUUAGAUGAAAAUAUAAAUAUAUGAGAUCAUAUUAUAAUAAAUGAGAUCAAAUACAAAUAAAUAUAAUUGAAGUGCAAAAACGAGACAUAAGUGAAAUAUAAUUCAAUGAAUCAAAUUAUCAGGGGUGACAAAAUUUGAUACGAUUCGCCUAUUCAACACAGACUCAAUACGUUUUUCGUGGAUUUGGGUUGAAUAUAAAUGAGUUUGGGUCAAAUUCAUGUCGACUUACAUGAUCCAUAUAAUAAAUAAGUAAUUUUUUUUUUAUCAACAUACAUAACAUGAGUUUGACCCAAAUUAACCCAUUUGAAAAUGAUAGUAUUAAUUUAAUUAUAUCUUUAAACUAUUUAACCUAUAAUUAACUCAUUUUAAAUUUAUUUUUAAAAUAUUAACUAUAUAGGCAUAUACAAGACUUAACUCAAUUUAAUUAUUAAAUAAAAAAAACCCGAUUAUUAAAUGAGUUAAAUUUAUUACACAUUGUAUUACCUGUUUAAUAAUUAGAUAACAUUUAAAUUUAUGUUUUUGAUACAGUAAUUAUUUGUUUCACCCAUUAACACAAAUUUUAAGCCCUACAAAUUAUACAUAUGAUAUUAUUGGUACUGAUUCUGCUUUUCCACCCAACCCAAAAGAAAUAUCUAAAAUUUGAGGGGUUGAAUUUUGGACCCUCUAUUUUCAGUGACAUAAAAGAAGCAAUAACUGGAACAGGAAAAUUCAAAGUCAAAAAGAGGCAUUUUCAGUUUUUUCCUUCCAUGGAAAACCGUGCAUGAAACUUUCAUUAUCAAGUUUUGAAUUUUUUAUUUUUUAUUUUAAUUUUUGGGUAGCCAAUAUCUUUAUACAUAGCCAAUAUGCUGGUCAUUGAAAGACAAAAAUUUGGUCAAAAGAUGACCAUUUUAGUAGGGGGAUACAUGACUCCUCUAUGGGUUUGAAGCCCAUUUUUUUGCAUUAAUUAAAUAGAGAUUAAGAGUUGAAUAAUGAACUAAGAGCUGUCCUCAAAUGUCCAUUUUCAUUCCCACAUGGCUUCUUAGUAACACACACAAUCACUAAAAUGUACAUUAUAUUACAACUCAUUGACAGGUGGCAAAAAUGACCAAUUCAAUGACAGGUGGCACUUCAUAAAAAAUGGGCCAUGUGGGAAAGUUGAGCAUUUUUUAUUUUUUUUAUUUUGAUGAAUAAUGAGAGGGAGAUCUUGUAAUGAGAACAUCUAAGAUUUCUCAGGAGCACAAAAAAGGCUGUUACAAUUAUUAGAAAUGAAGGCCCACAAGACUGAGCUCUGAUUUUCUUUUCUCAUAAUCCAAGGCUUUGGUCCCCUCCACUGCACUCCACCCCACCCUCCAACAACUCUCCCACUCUUUUAUCAUCUACUCUUCAUAAUUAUCUUAUUCCUUUCUGAAAGCUGAACCCAUAGCCAUAGCUCUGGUACCUUCAAUCCCACCUGUGGUUGAGUACCCUAGUACUUGUUCCUUGUUUGGGUUAACUUUCAUUUUUUUUUUUGGCUUUUAUUAAAAAUCAAAAUUAAAAAAAAAAAGUCAUAAUUUUAAAAAAUAGUAUUAAUAUUAUAAAAAUUUAUUAAACAUAUUUUUUAAUGAAUAAACAAUAAUAUAUUCAUAAAAAAAAGACACAUCAAGGAACACAAAAAAUGUACAAAAGAGGUUAAAAAAAUGUUUCAAAGAGAAACAGGGGAUCAAUAAAAAACAACACCCCUUUAAACAGAGUUCAAUUAAUCUACAAAAUCAACAAUAAAAGACACAUUGGAGACUAAAUACCCAUUGGCCCAAAGGAAAAAAGAUUUACACAUUAAACGGAUGACCCUCAUUUUCAAAAUUCCCAUUGUUUCUUUCUUUCUAAAUUAUUCAAACAAGAUGAAUUGUCAAAAAAAUGACUUUUUGUUUCUUGGAAGUCUAUCCAAACAGGCCUAUAUUUCAUGAAAAUGAAUAAUUUAAGGAUUUUGAAUGGAUCGAAACUGUCUAUAUGCAUUUGGGUGUGAAAAUGUGUAGAAGGCGUAGGAGCCAAGACCUUCCAUGGCAAGAAUGGUAAAUUACAAAGAAAAAUGAUUGCUGGGAAUGACCAUUAAACUCAUCAUAGUUUCUUGAAAUGGGUUUUAGUCAACACUCCAUAUAAUGGGAUCCUAAGUUUAGACCCCUGCCCACAAUCCAAUCCAUAACAAUAAUCAGAGGUAGAAUUAUAAUCCCACAUUUGUAAUGGUUUAUUCUGUAUGGGUUUAGGGUUUAGGGUUUUAGCAUGGUUUAUUUCCCAUUUAUUGAUUAAAGACAUGAUACAAACAUGGAGGUCGGGAAGAAUGAGAGAGUGGCGUUGAAGGGUGGCUGCUACUGUCCAUUGUCCAUCUUUAUUUUGUGUAGCUAACUAAAACAGAACAUGUGCCAACAGUCGCAGUGUGUACUGAUGGGUCUGCCAUUUCACACUACCCACAUAGCUUAUAACCUCUGAAAGAAAGAUCAAGAAAACAACAGGCUUAUUUCCUAUGUUUUCUCUCAUUAUUUCUGUGGACCACUGUAGAACAAGUUCCAUCCUAACGAAUAGAACUUUAACCUCUCUAUAAGCAUCUAGAUUCGGGUUUGGAUUGAACAAGAAGAUUACACCAAGCCAAGAAUGGCCACAGGGAUUUUCAGGGUACAGGGUAAGGCCUGCAUAUGUUGAACCAAAGACUAGAUCAACAGCCUGAUUUUAUCUUAACCCAAUCGGUUUUAGACAGUCCAGAAUGGAAUGUUAAAAGCAGUAAGCUGCAUUCCUAUUGUGCCAAAGAUGAUCCACUACCUCUUGCAACAGUAACCGAAAAUAGAAAAAGAGGAAAAGAAAAAGGCCAUAUAUUUAUUCAGCUGCUAAAAGAGCGAACCUCUGAUACAACAAUCCA